CGAGUCAGAACUUAGACUCCAGCCUUGACUGGGCCAGGGGCUCAGGAUCCAGGGAGACCUCUCCUUCCGGGGGGUCAGGACCUCCUGUCCUGGCUCCUCCCCUGGGUCUCUGAUGGCUGUCACUCACCAACUCCCAGUGACCCCAAGUGAAGGCUGCACCUAGAGAGGUCAUCAUCUCCCCCACCAUACUUGCCCUUCCCUGUUCCUUCCCGCUUGAUGAUAUAUGUCCUCUCUGCUUUCGUGCCCACCGGAUUCCGAGGCAUCUGCAUGGGGCUCGGUAGGUUUGGAAGUCCAGAGCAUUUGGCUGUUUUGUUUGAGACCUGGUUAUGGUUGUGGGAUUUUUUUUUUUUUUUUUUUUUUUGUCAGCUGCCUGUUAUAUCAAUCACGGAGUUGAGAUCUAUUUAUAGGUUGGGAGUACUGUGUCCUUAGUCACAAAGAGACACAGACAGGGGACUGUCAGCUGGUGCCGGAGGAGCCGAACAACGAGUCAUCAGCCACUGGAAACACCUGAGAGUGACCGUUCACGGCAGCCCCGUUCCCCACGCCAGCGCUAGCAUGUAAGUCACCGAACUUCUCCCUCUGGUCCUGCCCAGACUGCCCUGGACCUCCCUGUCCUUCUCCCUACACACCCCCCUUCUCUCUCUCUCUCUCUCUCUCUCUCUCUCUCCCUCCCUCUCUCCCUCUCUCUCUAAUGGAUAAAAAUAUCUCCCACGCCUGCUUUUUCAUCCUGGUUUUCUGCACACGAAAGCAUCCCCGCAUGGCGGAGGGAAAACGUCGCCUCCCACAGCCUGUCAUGGGAAGGUCAGAGGGUCUCGGGAUGGCUCCGUGGGUUACACCAACUCAUUCAGAAUCAGUAGGUCCCGUUUGUUUGUUUUUAUUUGUUUUUUUUUUUUUUUUUGCAGAGGAAAAGUAAGUAAAUCAAAAGGGCAAGGCAAAGUUUACACGCGGCUCAGCAGGGCGGUUAUGUCUCCCAGCGUGAAAACUUUGAUUUGCUGGCAGCUCCAGCAUUUGGUGAGCUGGGGAAGGUGACAGAGGGGGAAGACCCACUUCCCAGGGACAGGUGCUGAUGGAAGGGUCCCACAGAUUUGGGCUCACCCUGGCAGCUUCCACGUACAGCGAGAGUUGAGACAGCCCCAGUGAUUAGCUUUUCUAUUGCGCCUCAAAGGGAAGUGACUUCUUUUCCCUCCAUGGAGCAAGUUUGCUUUGAGAAGUCUGAGAUGAGAGCUGAGGAGCUGUCUUGCCUUGCAGGCUUCAGCUGGCUCACUAACUGGCAUUUUCUUAAUCCUGAAAGGGGAACUUGGGUGGGGGAGGAAGAGUGUCAGAAAGGAAGGAGCCAGGUGUGGAGAGGUGCAGAGGGUAUCACUCUACAUGUUUCACCAAAGGAGAAACUUAAUAUUAUGAUUCUUGUCAAAGCCGGGCUUGUUUCAGACAAUCCAACAGUGUGUGCACAUCGGGUGGCUCUGGAGAUGCCCCCGCCCCAGUUUAGCCACUGUCCAUCGUGCACAGGGCCUACCUGUCGUGAGCAUCCAGUGGUGGGAUGUUAGUUUUCUGGAUAAUAGAUAGCAUUAACCCCCAAAGCUGCAUUGGAGAGAUUUGGGGAGAUUCGCUAUAUAGCAGUUAUGCAACAGUAGUCCUAAAUUUGGGGGGGAAGGAUUAUGUGAUGAUAUUUAACAUAUACUUUGCACAACUUUAAACAUGUAUCUCAUUCUUUUUGCCAUGGUUUCUAUUCACUUGUACAAGGGUUACCAGAUGUUAUCUUGCAGAAGAUGACUUCUUGAUUUGUUCCCAUAAACAACAUCCUAACAAAGGAACGAUCUUUCCAACAAAUUGAAAGCAUUAAACAAAGCAAAUGAGUCUAAAUUGUUUUGGAUUACAAACAAAAUAGUUUUGUUAGCAAAAGAGUUGAUGAAAGUUAACACAGGCCUGCCCACACAUCCAGAGAGGCAAUUUGAUCUCGUUUUUAUUUUGAUGGUUAUGAAACCUUAAACUUUCCUUUUUUGUUGUUCUUUAUUUUUCACUUGCAUUUUAUUUAGAGUUAUUAAUGUCUUUAAUUCCUUUGUUUAUUAUUUUGGAGAGUGGAAAGCAGGUCAGGAAGCAAUGAGAAAUUAGAAGAUGAACUUUAUGUGUCCAGGUAGUAAGGACACGUUCAUCAGUGGAGAAAUCCAGAAUAAGGAGUUUGGUGUGUGUGUGUGUGUGUGUGUGUGUGUGUGUGUAGGGGUGGUAAAUGUCACUAUUUAAGACCUAUUUUGGAAACUAAAGUCCAUGAAAUCCAGAAGGAAAAAAGAGAACUAAGUGAAUUAUACAUGUAGGAUUAUUAAUUCUCCUGUUGCAAGGACUGUUUUGAUAGACGCAUCCUGCUAAGGUUUUCCCACAACAAUGCAGGAGUGGGAGCUGGUGGAUGAUUGUUAAUUAAAGUUCAUGUGAAUCAAGUGAUCAAGACACUUCACUCAAAUCAGAGUGGGCCACUGUGUGCAAAGCUGAACUUCCAGGUCUUUAAAGUCUCAGAGGCUCAGAGAAAGUGUGGAACUUUUUGAACCUUUUGGCACAAGAGCAGGUCCUUCCUUCUCCUCCUCAGCAUGCACCCUAGGGCCUGGCUGGCCCCAGUGCCUGGUUGAGUGCAGUGGGGGAGAGUCCUGCAUUCCUGAACGAAUCCUGUGCUCUCGUUAGCAUUAACACUGUGCAGAGAAGAAUAUUUGUUGGAACACUUAGGUGAGAAGCACCCCUCCCCCGGGCGAUUAGUGGAUGCUUUUGGGGGGCUGAGGGCUUGUUUGGUAGAGUGCUGGGGGCCCUGGCUUUCAUCCUCAGGUUCCAGAUGUGGUUUAGUUAUAGAGAUGCAGUUGGGGGGAACUUCGGUGCAUUUGCAUAAGGCAGCCUCUGAUUACUUACUUUCUGCUUCAGUAACUAUUAAUUUUAUGUGGUCUGAGCUCCCAUCAAACUCAUUUUUUUUUUGCAAACUGAUUUCUUAAAUACAAUUGGUCACGGGGCCGUCUGUGACUUCAUGUCUGCCAAAUCUAACCCAUUCCUUCCUUGUCGUUGUUUAAUCUCUGUGGCUGGAAGCGAGCAGUUGCCUGUGAGCAUGCCCUAUCAUUUGAUGCGGCCUCCCGUCCUGGAGCACACAGGCAUCCAAUUCUGACCUCCUCCCAAAUUGGGGACAGGGGGGGCAAUGAGCAGGUGCUUUGGAAUACAGCUAGCUCAGGUGUAGGACCAUCAAUCUCCAGGAGGAAGGAAUUGCAAAUACCUGGAAAGUGCUUCCCUAAUUCAAACGAUUUUACAUAGCUGAGGUCUCUCCAAAUAUCCCAUAAAUAAAAAAUGGCAGCUGGCAGGAUUUUUAGACCAUAGACCAUGGUGCACCUCUUCCUAUCACUGCACUACCGUAUAUCUGUCCAUCUUUUUCUUAUCUCUAUUUUUACAUUUCAUUAUCCUCCCCCCCUUUUCUCUCCCUCCUCCCUUCCCUCCCCCUUCUCGCCUUUCCUGAAAACACAUUUCUAUCUGGCACAGAAAAUAAACUCAGAUUGUGGGUAGUUAUGUUAAUCUAAUUCAAUCCUCAGCGGGUUAAGAGUGAAAUUCUAAUAGUGGAACUGUUGAGGGCUUUUUUGUUAAUGGCUCGGGGAUUACAUUGAGUUAAAGGCUCAUUUCCUAAUCAAACAGAGAGGGAGAGAGUGACUCCGAAUAUUUAUGAGUCUCCCAGUGAGAGUUUAAACAUUCAACUCCAAAAGCUGGGUUUCUGCAGGAGGAAAGAGUUAAAACCCCUCAGGGCUGCUGGGGAAAAAAAUUAAACCAGUUAAGCCAUCAGCGUUUCCAGGCUGCUGUACAACUUCUGUGCUCUGCAAAGUAGAAGGUAGGGUGGAGCUGGGGGCGAGGGGAUCAGUUCACAAGGCCACCCAGAGCAGACCCGGGUCCUCUGCUCACCCAGGGCCUGGAGGGGCUGGGCGCUGUUACAUCCUCAAGCCAAUCUUCCUCCUCCAGCAUGCAGGUGAGAUGUGGAGACAGCGGUGUGGCUCAAUCACCAGCCCCUGGAGAUCCCCCUGCUGCCCGGUGAGGCUAGAGGAAUGGAGCCUCCCCUACUUUGGUCCUGCCUCUGACGUGCUGAGUGUUCUUCCCUUUGGAAAGUAACUCACAUGUCUUCCCACUCAGCUUCAAUCCCAUGAGGAUCUCAAAGCCCAUCUGGCUCUCUGUGCCCAGGUGGAGAACUGAGGGCCAACUUGGCCAAGGUGGAGCAAUGUCAAGGCCAAGCUGAGGUCAGGAGUCUAAGCCCAGGCAAGCCUUCUGGCCUCCCUCUCCCCUCAUUCUCUUGAGUACGCUAGAGGAAAGGGGAACGUCAGGGCCAUAUGGCUGUUAAACAGGCCCUGGCUCCCCCCCCCCCGGAAUGAGAUUUCCUUCUUCAGUUUGGAAAGGGAGGGCAGGAGUCCCGGAUGCAGGGCGAUUCAGCGGGCUCCAUGGGCACUGGUGCUUCUCUCUACCACCAACCAAGUGAGCAGUGACUGUUCCUUACACUUGGGCUUUUUUUCCAGCUCCAUGAGGUCAGCAGAGGCACCAGGCAGCAGAAUUUCUUUCUUUCUAGGAUCCUUUGGCUUUUUUGUUUCCCUAUCCCUGGGAGCUGUUCUUUCUCUUAGUGCUUCAAACGUGGUGGCCCAUGAGUCUUGUGUUUGCCUUUUCAUGUCCCGGUAGCAUUUCAACACAGCUACUUCAGCUUUUCUGUGAAGUCGUCUCCCUCUCAGGGUUUUCACAGCCCCUAGCUGACCUCCUCCACAUGGCCUUCACUGCCACCAGGACCCCCACAGGAGCAGGGCUGUGCCUCAGUCUCCCCUGUUAGCGCAGCUCCAUGGUGAUCAGUCAUGCCCCCUGCCCUCACAUGUGACUCCUGUGGAUGGUAUGGAGCUGAGGUUCAGAGCACAGGCUGAGUCGGACAGCCAAGGGUCACAUCCACCCUUUCUCAGCUGAGGUACCAGAGCUACCAAACCGCUCAAGGUCUCCCUUUUCCCCUCUGCUAAAUGGAGAUAACAACAGAACCUGCCUUGUGGGCUGCUGGAAAGACAAGAUGCCCCAAAGUGCUUAGCCCUGUGCCCAAUAAGCGUUGGCACUUUUAUUUGCUUGGCACAGUAUUCCCUUCUGCACACAGAGGAUUGCCCCACUAGACAGCCUCCCACGCCUUCCCCUAGGGUGGUUAAGCUGGGCGCUGAGUCAGCAAAACCCUGCUUCACCCUCCAACCACUAGGGAGGUUCACUGCUAACCACUAGGGCGCCAGAGCUCAGGGUGUGUUGGGAAGACCUUGGGGCUUUUCAGACCCCAAGGGAGGGCAAAGGAGGAGCUGGGCCCAGGCAGCAUCCCUCCAUUGGAGAAGGCCUGACUCUCCACUCUGUGGAAACAGUUUCGUCCAUCUUUUGGCUUUGGCUCUCAGGAGCAGUUUGGUUCUUAGGUCCCACUCAGCUUUAGUCCCGUGAAGAUCUCAAAGCCCAUCUGGCUCCCUGCACACCUCUCUACCCCACAGUAUCAGAGGGCAGUUUGCACGUUCCCAUGGGUAGACCAGGCCUGGCCUGGCUAGAAAGAUGGCACAUGCAUCUACAAGGUGGCAGGUGGCUGCUCUGUCAGCCUCCCUCCUAAUGUGACCACUUGACCAAGUACAUAUCACCUGCAAGAAAUGGCCUCUCCUGAGAUGCCCUAGUCCCGAUGUCCUCAACACUCCCGUAUCUCUGCAUGGGGACUCACUGUACUGCCAGGCAAAAGUCCCUUCUCCUUUUCUUCCUCCAUGGGUAGCCAUUUGGUUCCUGAUCAAAGCAGGGGUCUGGAACCCGAAUCACACUGCCACUCGAACUUAGAAAGUGUUCCGUCUUCUCACUGCCUCCUUUCUGCUCCCCCUCCAAGCAGCUGGCAGGUACUAUUCUAAACACUUGGAUUGCCACUGUCUCCCUUUUGGCCUCCUUAGUCUUCACCUUUGAGGUCCCCAGUGCCUAGUGCACUGGCUGGCACAUAAUAUAUGUUCAACAAAUGCGUGCAAAGUGCAGAAUCUCUCCUCCCCAGGGGGCACUUCAUUCCCUUUGUCCUCUUAAUCAUGCAGGAAUGAUUUNUCUCAAAGCCCAUCUGGCUCUCUGUGCCCAGGUGGAGAACUGAGGGCCAACUUGGCCAAGGUGGAGCAAUGUCAAGGCCAAGCUGAGGUCAGGAGUCUAAGCCCAGGCAAGCCUUCUGGCCUCCCUCUCCCCUCAUUCUCUUGAGUAUGCUAGAGGAAAGGGGAACGUCAGGGCCAUAUGGCUGUUAAACAGGCCCUGGCUCCCCCCCGGAAUGAGAUUUCCUUCUUCAGUUUGGAAAGGGAGGGCAGGAGUCCCGGAUGCAGGGCGAUUCAGCAGGCUCCAUGGGCACUGGUGCUUCUCUCUACCACCAACCAAGUGAGCAGUGACUGUUCCUUUCACUUGGGCUUUUUUUCCAGCUCCAUGAGGUCAGCAGAGGCACCAGGCAGCAGAAUUUCUUUCUUUCUAGGAUCCUUUGGCUUUUUUGUUUCCCUAUCCCUGGGAGCUGUUCUUUCUCUUAGUGCUUCAAACGUGGUGGCCCAUGAGUCUUGUGUUUGCCUUUUCAUGUCCCGGUAGCAUUUCAACACAGCUACUUCAGCUUUUCUGUGAAGUCGUCUCCCUCUCAGGGUUUUCACAGCCCCUAGCUGACCUCCUCCACAUGGCCUUCACUGCCACCAGGACCCCCACAGGAGCAGGGCUGUGCCUCAGUCUCCCCUGUUAGCGCAGCUCCAUGGUGAUCAGUCAUGCCCCCUGCCCUCACAUGUGACUCCUGUGGAUGGUAUGGAGCUGAGGUUCAGAGCACAGGCUGAGUCGGACAGCCAAGGGUCACAUCCACCCUUUCUCAGCUGAGGUAUCAGAGCUACCAAACCGCUCAAGGUCUCCCUUUUCCCCUCUGCUAAAUGGAGAUAACAACAGAACCUGCCUUGUGGGCUGCUGGAAAGACAAGAUGCCCCAAAGUGCUUAGCCCUGUGCCCAAUAAGCGUUGGCACUUUUAUUUGCUUGGCACAGUAUUCCCUUCUGCACACAGAGGAUUGCCCCACUAGACAGCCUCCCACGCCUUCCCCUAGGGUGGUUAAGCUGGGAGCUGAGUCAGCAAAACCCUGCUUCACCCUCCAACCACUAGGGAGGUUCACUGCUAACCACUAGGGCGCCAGAGCUCAGGGUGUGUUGGGAAGACCUUGGGGCUUUUCAGACCCCAAGGGAGGGCAAAGGAGGAGCUGGGCCCAGGCAGCAUCCCUCCAUUGGAGAAGGCCUGACUCUCCACUCUGUGGAAACAGUUUCGUCCAUCUUUUGGCUUUGGCUCUCAGGAGCAGUUUGGUUCUUAGGUCCCACUCAGCUUUAGUCCCGUGAAGAUCUCAAAGCCCAUCUGGCUCCCUGCACACCUCUCUACCCCACAGUAUCAGAGGGCAGUUUGCACGUUCCCAUGGGUAGACCAGGCCUGGCCUGGCUAGAAAGAUGGCACAUGCAUCUACAAGGUGGCAGGUGGCUGCUCUGUCAGCCUCCCUCCUAAUGUGACCACUUGACCAAGUACAUAUCACCUGCAAGAAAUGGCCUCUCCUGAGAUGCCCUAGUCCCGAUGUCCUCAACACUCCCGUAUCUCUGCAUGGGGACUCACUGUACUGCCAGGCAAAAGUCCCUUCUCCUUUUCUUCCUCCAUGGGUAGCCAUUUGGUUCCUGAUCAAAGCAGGGGUCUGGAACCCGAAUCACAGUGCCACUCGAACUUAGAAAGUGUUCCGUCUUCUCACUGCCUCCUUUCUGCUCCCCCUCCAAGCAGCUGGCAGGUACUAUUCUAAACACUUGGAUUGCCACUGUCUCCCUUUUGGCCUCCUUAGUCUUCACCUUUGAGGUCCCCAGUGCCUAGUGCACUGGCUGGCACAUAAUAUAUGUUCAACAAAUGCGUGCAAAGUGCAGAAUCUCUCCUCCCCAGGGGGCACUUCAUUCCCUUUGUCCUCUUAAUCAUGCAGGAAUGAUUUGAAGCCAUGAAUGCCAUGAGUCUUGUGUUUGCCUUUUCAUGUCCCGGUAGCAUUUCAUGGUCCUUGCCCAAGUCCCUUUUAUUCCCUGACCCUCCUGCUUCCAUGUUCCUCUGUCCAUAGAGGGGUGGGGGUGGAGCAGGGGGCGAGGGAGAGAUGUGUGUGUGUGUGUGUGCGUGCGCGUGUGUGUGUCUUCUAUUCACGUGUGCAUGAAACUUCCCAGGAAUUUUAUCCUGUUUAGUAAAGAAGCUUUGUCUAAGUCGAUGUCAGAUUUAAUUGCUGAACCGCUCUCUCCUGUGACUGUUUCCCUCCUUUGCCACACUCUCUUCUCUCGCUUUUGUAAGCCUACCUGCUUUCUCUGGCUGUUUAGACUCUGUGGGGCCCCGUGCUCCUCCUCCUACUUUAACCCUGCAGUCCCGGGGGUACACAUAAGAGGGAGACCUUCCUCUGAAGCUUUCCAAAGUGUCUGCUUCCAUUAGCAUGGACAAGGCCUUUGAAAGGUGUCGAGUUAGGAACAUCAUUUUAGGUACCGGAUUCCUCCCAGAACAGUAUUUCUUUUUCUGCUCUCCUGUGGAAGAUGGAGUGCAAAAACUCAGGCUGUUGAGGGUUAAGUGAAGGCAAUGAAAAGUCUAGGCUCUCCUGGGGCCUGGUGGCUGGCUGAGACAAUUGAUUAGCUUGGCUUAGUGAUCUUUCUAGCAAUAUUCAGGAGAGAAAUUAUUGCUGAUUAGGCUGUGUAUGUGUGUGUGUAUGUCUGUGUGUGUGUGUGUGUGUGUGUGUGUGUCUGUGUUUUAGAGUUUCUAUCAGUGAGGGGGCAGGAUAAGAUAGGAGGAAGAAAUGUCAGGAUAACUUGCUCCUAAGUCAGUCCUCAGGAGGGGACCUGCCACCCUGAGUGUAUCUGAGGUUACAGAGCAACCGUGGGUCUUGUGAGCGCCCAAGUCCAUGGGGUAGGCAGGUGAAGGAGCACAGGGCCCCUUCUACCUUCUCUUUGCAACUCCUUGGGAAUCUAUAAUUAUUUGGGAAUUAAGAGCUGAACAAUGGGGCUGGGGCUGUAGCUCAGUGGUAAAGCGCUUACCUCGCAUGUGUGAGACACUGGGUUUGAUCCUCAGCACCACAUGUGUGUUCAUCUACAACUAAAUAAAUAUUAAAAAAAAAAAAGAGCUGAACAAUGAAGUAAAGUGGAAAGAGACCCAGGUUGAGGGCUGCUUCAGUCACAAGCUCUGGUGGUCAGAGGCAGCCUGAUGUGCCACGGAAGGAGGCAGGUACCAGGUGUCCAGCCCAGUCCCAACUCCAGGUUCAGUGGUCAUGAAGGUGCUCAUGCUCCUCAAGAGCUCAGUUCCCUCAAUAGUUAAAUGAGAGAUUGCAGGUUAUUGGGGGCCUCUGGCUCUAAAAGUUUACAUGUUUAGAACUAUUUGUUCUGAUGAACCCAGAACAUUGUGCUCCUACCAUAACUGAUGACAACAGGUCAGCCAGCCUUUGUCCCUGUCACCCAAGGCCAUAGGCCCAGAGUGGCUUCUCCUGGGUUUUGUGGCUCUACCACCAUUUUCCUUGAUCUGUUUUCUGCACUCACCUUUCUCUUCCCUAAGCACAACUGGAGGGUUAGUGGAAAGCUGAUCAGGGCUAAUCGCUCAAAAACAUGGGUCCAUAGAUCUUCUGCGUAUAUAUUUUGGCACUGGGGAUUGAAUCGAAGGGUGCUUAACUCCUGAGCCACAUCUGUAGCCCUUUUUAUUUUUUUUUUUUUAUUUUGAGACAGGGUCUAGCUAAGUUGCUGAGGCUGGCCUUGAACUUGCAAUCCUUCUGCCUCAGCCUCCUGAAUUGCUGGGAUUAUAGGCAUAUGUCACCACACCCAGCCAUCUCUGAUUUUUUAAUUUUGUUUAUAAUUUGCAGAGACCCUUGUUUUGGAUCUUUGUGGUCUUGCUACCCCUCCCUCUGCACCUCUAUCCCUCUGGAAGUUGCAUAGGCUUCACACAUUUGGAGAAGCCCAGGGCACCCAAUCCUCCAGCUCUGCUGACAGUGUUUUGCAGCAUCCAAAGAAAGGAGCCAUUUGGGAUUUGGGAGGGGAGUUGCCAAAUGGGGGACCUCUGUGAGUCCUUGAUUUCACUGUAGCUUACUUUCUUUACCUGCCCAAAGGGAUUAAUCUCUGCUUUGAGUCUCUCAUAAGGUUGGUAUGAAGUUAAAAUAAAAAUCAUAGAAUAAGAGUUCCUUUAAAGAUGGAAGUAUUACCAGUUUUAGAUGAAAUUACUUCCCUGCAUGGGGAAUGCUGUUAAGUUGUAGGGGUAGAAAACAUACUCUAGAGUCCUGAUCCACCUGAUGCCAGCUGCAACUCUGGCCAGGUUUCCACCUCUCCAUUUCACCCUCAAUGUCCUCUUCUACAAAUUGGGAUGAUAAGAACACCUCUUUCAUGGAGUUGCAGGGAUUAAAGAGGACCCGUGAACCAUCCCCUGGACAGUGCCUACUAGAUAAUAACUUCUCAGAGCCAUUGUUGUGGGAAAGAGAAUGACAUUUUGGCCAUUUUGUGAUCCUUUUCCGGGACUCUGUGCCAAACAGGUCAAGAGGGAGGAAACUUUCAAAGUCCCCACAUUUCUCCUGAAGUCCCCUGGACAGCUUGCAAAGAUAGCAAAAGGUGCUGCUAUGGAGGUGGUUUAGAGACACCUGGCUGUCCACUAUGCCCCGCUGAGGGUGGCUGCCACCCACAUCCAGUGACCUUCUGGAGGUGGCAACAUGAGCAUCCUUCUGUUACCUGUCUGGGUUUUGUUUUGGGGUGAUCUGGCCAAGCCUCCUGCCUCACGUGGAAAUCUGCUGUCCAUAGCCUAGCACAUAUCGCUGCCCAUGCGCAGAUGUGAUGCUGGGAAGUGACCCGAACUUGUAUGUCCCGCAGUGUUCCAAGUCUCAGCAGUGUGGUUUCUGCAUCAGGCCGACUCCUCUUUCCUGUGUGGAGUAGCUAGAGAGGCGGCGUGUUUCCCACAGGUUGGACGGUGCACCUUUGGGGAGUCCUCAGCAAGAAAAGAAGAGAGGGAGUAGGGAAGGGCCAUUCCUGUUGCCUCUGAGAAGCCAAUUUGGGUAUUUCAGGGGACUCGUAGAGGUGCCGUCAUGCUCUUAGGGGAGAAUUCCGAAUCCAGACUUGUGGCCAGCCUGAGCGCGUGUGUGCACUGUGCUCGUUCAGGGUAUUGCGGUCAGCCAUCCGUGACUCUCUUCUUUCCCGUCUCGGGCAGAGAGUAAUCUAGAAGGAACGUGUAAUUACUAUUUACUCUGGGGCACUCAAUUGAGAACACCCUCAUGUAAUGACUCUUGAGCUAAUUCUGCCUUCAGAUGGCCAUCUGCUGUGGCUCCUUGAGAAGCCAGUGGGGAUGAGGCGCCGCGGGCAGCCCAGGGGGAAGGAUCGCGAGAUGCAUGUUAGUCCUGUGGGCUCAGGCUUUGCUCUUGGGCAACACGCACACACAGGUGGCAUCUCUCAUAUGCAGGAUCUUCACCCAGCUCUCUGUCCUUAGUGAUAGAAGUUUCAAAGCAGAGCUGUCUGUGAAACUAAUGAAUAGUCUCUGUGGAUCUGUUGGACAGUCAGUGGCAUCCUUAAGGAGUAGAUAUUUAGAUUUUUAGAGACAGGAGGAUACCAUUCACAUCAAGGUUUAAAACAUGCAAAGGAGGCUGUGUGUUGUGUAGGGAGCAAACCUAAGAUGUUCCUGAGAAUGAGAAAGGCCGACUUCAGAGGGAAAGGUCGACUUCAGAGGGAAAGGUCAGGCGCCUAUGAGGGUAUUCUCCACCCCAUCUGCCAGCUCAGGUUUGGUCUGGCUUCUGCAGGCUCCUCCCUGGCUUUCUCCCUCCACUUAUUUUUGGGCUAAGCUUGCCUAAUCAUUUAAGGUGGGGGAUGAGGGCAGUGAGAGGGUGGACGCAUUCUCACUACACCCAUGGAAUCUAUUUGCUAAAAAUAUCAGAAAUAUUACCUUGAAAUCUGACACCAUACCGAUGUGACUGGACACUGUUGUGGAGGCUUCCAAACUGUUUACGGAAAUAAAACUGAUUUUAUAUCAGCAUAUUGAGCAAUCAAGUAUGUUAGCUUCCAGAAGCCACUGCCUGAUGGCCAAGUGUAGUCCAUUCCAUUUUGUGUCUCUCUGCCUCUGCUUCUUGUCUGUAAGAGGGAUGGGGGUCAGAUGGGUGAUCUCCAAGGACUUCCCUGUCCAGCUUUGUGUGUCAGUAUCCCUGCGGGGCAGUGAUCAUCUGCUUCCCCUCCAGAACUAAGAGUUCUGUGGGCAGACACCGGGAGCCCCAUCUCCCAGCACAGUUCCUCGUCAAGACGGGUACCGGAAAUACUUUAAAGGUACUGAUGAAAAAAUGACACAAGCAGAUGCCAACUCCCAACCCAGUAUCAAUGUGACUUUUCCUAGACAUGCCAUCGGCCUGAGUAGUUGUGUCUUUGGUCUCCUCCUUGGUCAGCGGGGAGGUUCUUACCUUUCUGGUGUGACCUGGAAAAUCUCUUAGUAAUAAUAUGUAAAUGAGUUGUCUAAAAAACGCCCCCUGAAAAACAUCACCUCCCUCCCUGCUUUUCUGCAUGGCCAUGCUCUUGUCUAUUUCUGGUUUCCCCCUCUCUACCAUACUCUAUUAACUUAAAAAUAUUACAUUUGGAGACUUUCUAAAUAAAGAGUCCUCAGAGCACAAAGUAUCCCUUUUCCAUUUUCUGUGUCCCUAUGUGCUCCCUUGUAAAAAAAUUUUAUCUUGUUUUUUACUAAGUGGCCUUGAUUUUAUCAUUAACACUGGGACAAUUCUUUUUACUGUGUCUUCACUUAUUUCUAAAAUAUUCACCCCUAAGUCCCUAAGUCUACUCCUCUUGGUCUCUGUGCCCCCUCCCUCCCCUGUCUUUGCCAUUUUAUAGAACUUACAAAGUGAUUCCUUUAUAUGUGGGACCCUUGAUCUCAGGCUUUCCCGAGUCCUCCAUCAAAUUUCCCAGAAGAAUGGUUCUUACAAUUGGACUUUCACGGUGCUGGUGGUCUUGGGUCUCUGUCAUUUCCAUACUGAGCCUGGGGACAUGCUUUGUUCUCUCUCCCCUAAAACUUCAUCUUUUCUUUAACCAGCACUUUUCACAUUGGGGAAGAACCACAUUAUGAAUUUAAAGCUUUAAAAAAAUUCUUAGGUAUCUUUUCUUUUGCUUCAUAGUGUGACGGUUUCCACUUUUUCUUCCCUGACAAUAACCUCUCCUCACCUCAACUCCACUACCACCUGGGACCUAAUCCUGACAUUUCCUCAGACAGCUCUCCUCUGUUCCCUUGUGUUGUUGUUCAUGGCUUGCCUGGUUUCUUGACUUUUUCACAUGUCCCACCUCUGCAGUGGCUCUUGAGAUUGUGGGAGAAGGAAAGAGACAUUUUUUGAGGAUCUGUUAUGUGCUAGAAACUUUCUGAAGUUCAUACAACUUGUCACUGUAAUGAUUAAGAUGUAGGUGCCAUGGUGAUUCCCAUUUUAAGGAAGGGGAAACUGAGGCACUGAGGUUGAGGAUCUUGCUUAAGGUCACCCAGGAGGUAAGUCAUGCCAUCUGAUGCCACUUUCUGUGACAUACUCUGGGGCUGAAAAGGACAACCAGCAAAACAGAAGAAUUCCCUUUUGUGUCAUUUACAUCUAGAUUGGACUCAUUCCAACAUUUUCAGUUUCCCUCUUUUGGUUUUCUUUGAAAUGUGUUGAGUGUCCCCCUUGACAGACCCACAUGAAAGGGAUCCUGAGACUCUAGCUUUGUUCCCCAAGCCCCACAUCCUUGUAAAUAUUGCCACACGGGGGCUUUGGUUGAGAAGGCCCCUUGUCAGUCAGAGCUCUCCGUGGCUGCUCUUGCAGUCAAGCUUUUCCGUAAAUCAGUUUUUCAAAGUCUCUGCAGAGGAGUGUUGGCUGGGACGUAGGCCCCAUCUGUGGGUUGGACAGGUGGACUUGAAAAGCACCUUGUGGCGGGUGCGCUUCCAGGAAGCUGGUUUCGGCCGUCUCCUCCUCGCUGUGCCCCACCUUCCUGCCCUUUAGGGACUUCAUACCCUCUUUGGUCAACAGUGUUUCCAUUCCCUUUAUGUCAAUGGUUUGCUUCUCCCCACCCCACUCCACAUUUCUGGAAACUCAAAACCCGUGGUCCGUCACCUUUCCUGCCACCAGUGUCAUCCUAACUCCUGGGGAUAUGUGUGUGGCCUAGUGGGCUGUGUCCACUGUAUCCCACUGCUGGGCUUCAUUAUGGAUGGAGGGAGGCGGGGUCUUUUGCCAAGACCACAGCCCCCACCUGACUCCUUGCCCACUCUCCCAUGACCUUGAUCUGCUCUCCCCCCCACACCUUGGCUCUUGGGAUGCUAAUCACAUUCCCAAGGAGAGUCAGACUAUCUCCCCACCUUGGAUCGAGUCCAACAUGUGCUCACUGUUUGGGACAAAGUAUUUAUCCUGUCUGUCUGUGACCUUCUGCAGACACAGGUUCACCAGAUUUCUGCGGGUCCUCUGGCUUCCCAGAGGCCUGGUAGCCGUCAGCCUGCCUCCUGCGCAGUGGGUGCAGGCGGCUGGGAUGCCCGUGGACGUUCAUAAGUCACUGACGUGAUCUCCAGUGUUUAGAGGUGCCCCUUCUCACCAGGCUGAGGUGUCACAGUGAACCCUUAGCUGGAUCAGUGACAGUGGUGAGGCCAUUCAGCAGAGAGCCUUUGUCUGCAGCGCCCCCUUUCUUUGCCAACCCUUCCCCCUGCUUUGUCUGAUGUUCUUAGAGUCCCCAGCCCUUGGUGUCUCUUAGUAGAAAGGUUACUGAAGUUCUCCGGGGGGUGGGGGGGGAGGUGGGACAUGACCAUGUGACUAUGCUGCCAGUGGGGCUGCCGGGUCCCCAGCUGCAGGGCGGCGGGGUGGUAGGCGAGCUGCAGGAGGUGCUGGCUUGCUCGCGGUGGCUGUGGCCCAGGCUCUGGUUUUUCAGACUGGAGGGACCCGCUGGAGGUGUUCUCCUGACUCUGGGUCCUCCGUAGGUUCAGAAGCUGGAAGCUCCUCCAGAUGCAUGUCUGGUGAUUUUCCACCUGAUGGGGUUGUAAGUGUCUCUGCCAAGUGGGUUCGAGCAUUUCCCUGGCUGCACUGUCACCCUGCUGUUUGGGGAAGGCUCCUGGAGAUAGGGAACAUGAGUGCCUUUAGGUCAGGUUCCCCACAGCAGGGCUGAGAUGAGGGAGCACUCUCCAGAGGAACCUGGGCAGGGACGAUGCCAAGCCAGCCUCGGCCACCUUCAGGAAGGGGAUUGGCCAGUGCUACCCCAAAUCAAUCAGCCAUUCACUGGCUGGCAGCCGAUGGGUGAGGAAGCAACCUCCCAGGCCCUCUGGACCAAAGGGGUCAAGGACAACUCUCAGGAUAAGGUGCAGCUAUUAGCAGUUGGGGAGCGGAGCAUCAUGGGGUAAAGAAUCUGAGCAAAGUACCAACAGCAACUGCUGCAGGAAGAGGAUGGGGGGGGGAGUCCUACCAUGGCCUCAUUCACUCCCAGUCCACAUGGGCCCAGGGUAGAGCUAACAUACAGGACCAGGACUCUGGGUGUGAAGAUUCUGGGCUACCAAGACAGACCCUCUGAGGUCCAUACUCAGAGUGUGAGUUGCACCCUUUUUUCUCUGUCCCAGCAUCGGCUCCCCAAAGGCAGAGAAAGAGACUCGCUCUCCACCUCAUGCCUCUGCUCCGUGGGGAGCUGGAGCAAGAGGGCCUCUUCUUCCACAGAGGAGGACAGCCGUCCCACACCUUUGGAUGGAGCCCAGGCUUGACCCACCGCCUCCUCACUGGCAGGGCUUUAGGUCUUUGAUUUGCUUUCAGCAAAAGGCCUGGCCAGGGCACGUGGCAUUAUGUCACCAAGCAGUGCCAUUGCAAAUGCCCAUGAGUCUGAGUAUGCACGGAAAACAUACAGGAAGAUCAGUUCUCUUCUUUUGGAGUUUGGAAUAUAGAAUUGGUUGGCGUAGGGGUGGGCGGAGGGUGGGGUCCCCCUGAUUGCUCUAAUUGGUUGCAGCCAGUCCAGCGGCCUCAAAAGAAGGGAUAGGGAUGUGUAUGGAAGGCAAGUACAUGGGGAAGGGGCACUUGAGUUGCCAAGGAACCAUGUUUGGAGUGGUGGGCAGGGGGCACCUCAUCAUGUCACUUCCUUUAAGUUGGCAGUAUAGUCAAGGAAAUAGAGACCCUCAGUCAGUCCACCUGAGGGGACUGCAGAUCCAGGAAAUGGUUAAGAUGAGUUCAAACUCAAAUCGGUUGUCUCUAUAGCUAUGCUGUCUAACCAGUAAGCCAAUAGGACUUGGACACCAAAUUCUGGGAAUGCAGUGGGGAUUGGGAUUGGGUCCAUGUGGAUUUAUUGGCUUGGUGACUUCAGAUUUGUCUGGCUCAUUCCAGUUCCCAGGGACUUGAAGUUUCUCCCUACAUGGACUCCUCUGCCCCAUUCAACCCGCUCUUCUCUCUCAUCUACCUGCACACCCAUUCGGAAUGCCACUCACAAGAAUGUCCCCACCCUCCACCUGUGCUCUGUACUGGCACUGCCAAAACUAAAGUGCAGAUUCAAGAUACAGUGAUGACCACAUGUCCACAGACUUUGGACUUGGCUAAAUCUGAGUUUGAGUUCUAUUUCUGCUGUGUAUUAGUCUGGUGGUCCCCAUAAGUGAAUCUGCCUCUGUGCAUUUCAGUUUUCUCAUCUGUGUAAGGGGAUAAUAAAAUCCAAUCUCGUGGGGAUUGUUCUGAGGAUUAAAAGAGAUGAGUCCAGCUCUGAGUGGCCUCAAAGCUCUGCUCUUUUGUGUCGGUGUGGUUCAAGUUCACGGACAGUGAAUACCAUGUGUUCUGUGGACAUAAAAGCAUUGGAGUGGGGGAGUUCUGGUGGUAACAAUGGUAGUCUAAUCAAAAACCUUUCCAACUCUGGAUUUGACUUAGAUGUGGAGAGAGGGUAAGGACCAGCUUGGAGGACAUUGGUGAUGCACAUGUCCCCAUUCCUCUUCUACCUUCAGGAUCUAAUCACACUUUCGAAGGCUACGCAGCUUUCUUCUCUGGUUGGGUGACACACAAAGCAGGCAGAAGCCACCCUUCCUGCCAGCUGUUCUUUCCAGUGCCUGGCAUGUUCAUGUCCCUGGGCACAGGGAGGGCUUCAGGGUGCACAGGCCACCAUCUGCUGGAGCAGCCACGCCUGGGCUCAGCAACAGCCCCGCCUGCAAGAGCCCAGCCCCAGCUUUCAGCAGCUGUCUGGGUGGGUGACCUAGCAGCUGUGCCAUCAGCCCCUUAGGGGCCUGUGUUUUUGUCUCUCUCAGGCCCUCCUGGCUGCCAGGCAGAGGGCCCACUGUCCUUCACCACCAGCAAGCAUCUCACAUUGCCCAGCCUGUGCCAGUGUUGGCAAAGUCUUCUCAGUUGAGAGGCCUAGUGUCUCUGGCCUCUGUAGCUGCUCACAUGCCCCACUUGGGGACUGGACCCCAAGUGGGGUGAGGUGAACUCUUAGCCUUUACUUCCUGGGGCUUUGCCAGCUUUUCCAUUUCUCUCUGACAGAUCUGGAGACUUUUCAAAAGGUGUCUGUGCUCACACGAGUCAAAGGGAAAAAUUGAAUGGAUGUCUCCGAAAACAGAGGUACUUGUUAAGUUGAACCAGAAGAUUAUUAACGCUAACUGUGGGAGAGAGUUCUAACCUGACUCCAGCUCAUGAUGAUGAAGGUGGUGGUGGUGAUGAUGAUGAUGGUGAUGAUGGUGGUGAUGAUAAAGGUGGUGGUGAUGAUGGUCACAGUGGUGAUGGUGGUGAUGAUGGUGUUGAUGGUGUUGAUGGUUUUGAUGAUGGUGAUGUGAUGAUGAUGAUAAUAUGAUGGUGGUAAGAUGAUGGUAGUGAUGAUGAUGAUGAUGGUGGUGGUGGUGGUGGUGGUGAUGAUAGUGAUGAUGAUGAUGGUGGUGAUAGAGGCAGUCCACUAUUGACUCACACUAUGAACCCAACUCUGUGCUUGGUGUGCUGCUCCUUUUUGUCCCUUUUUAUGCUCGGUAACUCAAGGAAGUAGGUGCUAGAAUCCCCACUUCCAUUUUUCAAAUAACAAAGAUGGGCCCCACAGGAGUUCCUUGACUAGCUUAGACAUAUGGCUGCUGAAUGUCAGUUCUGGAAUUUGACCAAGUCAUACUAGAACAUCCACACUUUUGGCCACUCUCUUGCAUGGAGUCCUCCAACACUGUGGAAUGCUCUGUGAAAUUAGGAAAUGUCAGGGUUGCCGAGGAGUGCCUCCCAUUUUAUAGGUGGAAAAACUGAGGCUGGUGUUCGGAACACCCUCAGUGCUGUGCUCAUGCCAAGGCAGGCACUCUAAGAGGGUCCUUCCCUGCUGGGGUGAGCUGCAGGGUUGAUGGGGCAUGGGGCAUAUAUGUUCCACUUGUGGAUAGAGGAAUUCACUCAUAUGUUUUAGAUACCUCAAGUGUAGCCAGGUAGAGGAGAGACAGAAAACAGCUAAAGUUGGCUCAGGACUGGGCACCACACAGAACACCUAAGUCCCCAAGUCAGCUUCCAGGACCACCACCUUCUGUCCCAUUCCUCCCAAAUCCCCCAACCCAGCACCCACACAGCAGGCAGCUUGCCCAUGUGCAUGUGUGCCCUCGUGCCUGCAGGCCAUAAGUGCCCCCGAGGGGCUCCCCAGUCUCCAGGGCUUCAGGCUAGAUGUGCUGAAACUCCACUUGUUCGAAUGAGGGCAGGCUGGGUCACAACCCAGUGUCCGGACCCCUUUAUGACUCAGCCCAGCUCCCCACUUCUGAAAGAAGCCCUCCAUUACCCCAUCUUGCAUAAGUCCUCUCUCCUACUCUGGUCCACUAAUGUGCUCUGGCCCUUCCACAGUCACACUGCAACACAGUCACACAUAGCUGUGACUGUCUGUCUCCAAGACUGAAAUCUGUUGAGCCAGGCUGUGUUACAAAUAUUCCAAAGAAUGCCCAAAAGAUUGAGUGUACUUGCGUGUAUGUACACACGCGUGUAUGUGUUCCUUGGUGCACACAUGAGUUGCUGUGAAGAGGAGUCCAGUCAGACAGGGAGUAAGGACUGAAGUCCAGUUGUGCCCCGGGGGUGGGGAUGGGCUGGACUACGCUCUCUGUAGGAGCUGUGGGUAGGUGAGAUGAGGGCUGUGGCUCAUCAGCCAACAUUUGAUGGCAUUUAGGAAAAAGCAAUCGGGUACCUCUGUGGCCACUCCAGUAUCAAAUUGGAUUUUCAUUCUGGAAAGGGGGCUACUUGUCUUCCCAGGGCCCAGGAAACAGUGAGACAUAGGUGACUCCCAGACCAAGAAUAAAUAAUCAAGUCAAUCUCAGGUUUAAUUGCCCUUUGACUCAUACCUCCGUCACUGGUCACUGCCACCAGGCAGACCGGUACCAGAGGUCACCUCUGGGUGCCAGUGCCCCAUCCCUGUCCCUCUGCAGGGAGCUAGGAGGCUUUACACAGCUGGAAACAGCUGUGCACGGCAUACACCAGAGCCAGGCACUGACCUGUGCAAACACGAGUAGAAUUAUAGCCACCCAUAAACAAAUUAGCAUCCUUUAAAAGGUGAAAAGCUCCAUAAAAUGUCUGGGUUUUGUUUACAGCUUCGAGGUGGGGUGGCCGCGAGUCGGAUUAAAUCACCGAGAUGCUGGCGCUGGCUCGGUUUCUUCCCCUCGCCUGCCCCCACCACCAUUGUGAGCACACACAGGCCGGCGCACACUCACACACCCGCACAUGCACACGCAACCCGCAUGCAAUGGCCGCUCAGUCCGUCCUGCCGUUGUUCCUGCCAGCCCGGGUCCCAGCAGGUGUUCCCUAAUUAGCAAUCUCUUCAUUUCCAAUCAAAGCACAAAGCGGCCCCAAAAGCCUGUCUUUAUGAGGGAGCGGAGCAGCGGCUAGGGAUGUGCAGGGGGGGAUAAUUGUCUUCGCCAGUGGCGGCGGUAAGCGGGCUGGCUAAUUCAUUAUUGUAAUAACUUUGCUUGUCCUUGGGGAGGUGCGGGUGGGGGAGGGAAGGAGGGGAAGGGGGAAGGGACCGAGUGUGGCUGAGGGUGGGGCCAAGGGUGGGGGACAGGAGAGCAAAUGAAGGAGGCACUGCCCACUCCCCUUCUCUGCUCUGGGCCCACUCCCCACAGCAGGCGGGCAAGUGACAGGGCCUCACUGCAGCCGCCACAGGGGGGCAGGCUGGCCAGACUUUCCCAGUGCCUGAAGGGCCCUGGUUCCAGGUGAGACCCUGGCUCCAGGACCAGGCACAGCUUCCUUCUGAGGCUGCAGGGCUGCCUCCUGGAGUCUGAGGGUCAGGUGUUCGUGGCCGGGUCCUGAAGCCAGGCCUGUGGCUUCCCAAGGGCUGGAGUGUCAUGAACUGUCAGACCUUCUUCAUUCCACUCCCACAGUGACGGUGACAGUAGGAACACCCCAAAGAGUUAUAACUGUUGUCAACAGAACGAUGUGAGUGACAACCCAAGGACCCCUGUGACCCAAAGCAGCAACUCCAAAGUGGCUCUGAGUGUCCUUAAAAAGGGGACAUGGUGGCUCUGGCCUGGACUGCCCCUUGCUGUGUUCUGGUAUAUUUGCCUGGAGUCACUUGUCCCACAAAGAGCAGGACAGAGAGGAACCCUGGCCACUGGAGCACAGGUAGACUGAAGUCCCAGAGGCCAGGUUGUCUGGGGGAUUGCAGUGGCCCUGUGCUCUCAGGGGACUCCAGCCAGCCACAGGGAUAGAGUGUCCCUGGGGGAGAAAGCAUGGCAAAGGCACAGGGCGAGUCCCAGGACAGCCACAGAAGAAGGCCAUGCUCAGGAUCACAGGAGAGCCUGGGAAGGGAGGCCAGGCUGGGCCUCGGGCAGGCUGGAGUCGCAUCUGAGGGCUGUCUUCAUCUGUUGUACCCCCAAAUCGGGAGCAACAGCAGCCCCUGCUAGAGAGCCUGGGACUGACUCACCUUGCCCCGAAGACGGGGCAUGAGGGUGCACCCCGGUUCCUUGCUCACACUGGAACCUCGGGGUUGGGGGCGGCCUGGGCCAGAACGGUGACCAGAGGAAAAUCGAGCCCUCCAGUGCCCCCUCCCCAAAGCUGCCAUCCAAGUCCUCAUCAUGGGGUACUUGCCAGAGGACACUGGAAAUGGAUUCCAGCAGCCCUUGCUAAAGCCUCCCCUGGUUCUGAAUGUUGCCCUGGCCUCCCGGUGUAGUGGUUAAUAUAGGUGACACGCAGAGUACAGCCACCACCGUGUUAGCCUCUGUGCUUCACCGUGCAAGUGGAGGCCAGGUGUGGCAAAGUGCUAGGGCACUCGCCUCACAUGCAGAGGGCCUGGGCUCUAUGCCCAGUACGCGCCCCACCAAAGAUACUGGGGGAGGGGAGCAGGGUGGGUGUCAGAGCUUCCCACUUCCCCUCAUCUGUGGGUGGCAUGGGGAGCUGGCUGGAGGAUGACACUGGGAGAUGGGACUGUGUGCAGCAGGCCCUCCUUCAGUCCAGCACCUCGGGCAUCUCCAAUCACCCCAGCAGCCGUGACCUGGCGGCCGAGGCUCAGCCCUGGUCUACCUCAGCCCUGCCUCUUUCUCUCUGGUUUGGGUGGAGAUGACCUGCAGCUGGGGCCUCGUCCCUGCUCCUGUGCAGGAGAAAAAGGCAUAUCCCUGGCUUUGCUGGCCAGGAGUCCCCUGGCCCUGGGCUUGGUUUGACCUAUAGGACAGUGUGGGAGGCUGGGUGCCACACCCUCUCAAUGGUCAUUUCCUCAGGGCACUGACUUUGCUGUUUGGCUCUCACCCUAGUGUGAGGUCAGGAAAGCCAAAGUCAGCUCCCCUCCAACCCCAGCCACCACUCACAGAUCCCUUUAUAGCUGCUUUUCAGAAAACAUCCAUGAAGCCUAGCGGGGAAUAAAUAGAAUACUACACAAAUAAAUAGCAGUGUGGUAGGGGUGGCUCUGUGGGUUGGGAAAGGCCCCUCUGAGGAGGUAUUAGGGUUAGGUCUGUGGUGUCCUCCCAACCUCACGUGUGGCGGUGAAAGGAUUGGAUUAUGAGAGCCUUAACCUACUCAAUGCAUUGACCCACUGGUACAGAUUAAUUGGGAGGUAACUGUGGGCAGGUAGGGUGUGACUGGAGGAGCUGGUCACUGGGGUGUGCCUUGGGGUGCAUAUUUUGUCCCUGGCUAUGGAGAGCACUCUCUUCUCUUCUCUUCUCUUCUCUCUCUCUCUCUCUCUCUCUCUCCCUGGCUUCCGGUGGCUCUGUCUUGAGCAGCUUUCCUCUGCCACACCCUUCUGCCAUGAUGUUCUGUCCUACCUUGGACCCAGAGGUAUGGGGUGGCUAUCUAUGACUGAGACCUCUGAAAUCAUGAGCCCCCAGAUAAACUUCUCCUCUUCUAAUUGUUCUUCUCAGGUCUUUUGGUCACAGUGACAAAACACCUGACUAAAACAAGCGGUGACAUUUAAGCUGUAGCUGAGGGACAAUGAGAGAAUCAAGUCUGGUUCUGCAUGGGCAAGAUCAGCGCUGACCAGGAAAACAAUAGCCACAUGGGGUUACGUGUCUGCUUCCCAAUUUCCUAUUAGCCACAUUGUUUAAAAAGUCAAAAGAAACAGGUGAAAUUAACCUCAAUAAUAUUUUCUAUUUAGCCCAAUAUAUUAAAAGAUGACUAUUUCACAUCUAGUCAACAUAAAAAAAUUAUUAAAAUACAUUCUACAAGCUUUUCCCUGAACUAAGUCUUUUGGAUCUGGUGUGAAUUUUACACUUAGAUUACUUCUCGAUUACUUCUCAUCCCAAGAGCCUCAUGUAGCUAGCAGCUAAGCACAUUUGAUGCCUAGAGGUGAAAGGAACAAACUCUGGAGCCACUUACUAGCUAUGUGACAUUGGCAAAGUGGCCAUGAACCUCUCUAUGCCUCAGUUUCUCCAUCUGUAAAAUAGGGGCCUAAGAAAAGUUACCCCCUGGAGUUAUUUAAGCUCACAAGGCUCAAGCAGUGUCGGAUUUAAAAGUGCUGUUUAAACGUUAGCUAUUAAUAAGUACAAUUUUUAAAAAAAUGAAAACAAUGUAUCUCCGAAGGAAACACAGUGAAUAGCAAAGGCGGGAGGGGCUGGGGUACAGGUUGAGUGGGGACUGAAGACACCAGGGGGCGUGUCCUGAUCAGGUCCAGCCUUGAACAGCUUGAAUUGCUCUCCAGCUCCUUGGACUGAGCCUGAGAACCAGAGAGAAAAACUUGAGGCUGAGACUUUGCCUGACACCUGUUCCCAUUUCAAAGGAGGGGUGUGAGCUGAGGUGGGGGGCUGUGCACCCCCAGUCUUGCCCAUCCUGCUCUGACUCCAAAACUGUUGCAAGCCUCCUGCUCACAGCUGCCUGGGAAGCGCCGGGCCUCAGCUGGAGGGGGAAUAUUAAUGAUUCAAUUUUCAACCGGGUUCCACUCCAGGGCCUCGCUUGCAACAUGCAUUUUUAAUCAUAACAAAACAGAAUGACAAAGGGAGUCAUUUGCAGCCAGGCAGCCCCUGCUGGCCAGCCCUUCCAAAGGGUUUGGCUGGGGGAGGGGUGGCUGGCCACACAUCACUCCCCCUUUUGGAGCAGAGAGCAUUCCCAACUUCAGGAGCCUGCGGCUGUAGGCCCAGUGGCCUUGUGAGUGCAAACAGUCAUCUUUGGGUCCUUUCUCCUUUCCAAAAGGGGCAGAUUGGGGAGAACCAGAAACCCUUGGGUGCCAUCAUCUAGGACUGGCAGAAGCUGGGGGAGUGGGGAUUUGACCAUCCCUUGGGUUCCAGCUGGUCUGCAGCAGGGGCCCUGCAGAUGGAGGCAGGGAGUUCGCACAGAAAUCUACCAGCCUGUCCUCCAGCCUUGGGGACACACCUCAACAGGGGCCUUCUGGGCUGAUUUGGUCUUGGUGGUGCCUGUGAGAGGUUUACUCCUUGCUCAUGGGGUGGCACCUGGGCUCCCUAUGGGUUCACCUCCCACCUGUGGGUCCUGGCCAUCUUGUUUGGCAACUCGCUCUGCAGUGAGUCAACUGGAAUGUUCUCCUUCACUCUUCCUGAUGCCCUCGAGAGCCCAGCUUGAAUCCCCCCUCACCAGGCUCCCUGUCUCCUUUCUGCCUGUAUUGCCCCUUGUCUGCCCCACUCCCUUAGCACUCUGCUCUUGGGCACACCUCUGCCAUCCCUCAGUCUCUGAGCACCCAGCACUGUGCCUGGUUGGCUUGGUCUAGCGGGGAUGGCAGGCAGCACACCCAGAAACCAGUUCCUGAGCCAUUAUACUUUACAUGCAUCAUAUUCCUUCAACUAACAUUUAUGAAGGACCUACUGUGUGCUGAACGCUGGUUACUGCAGCUACAGUGGCAAAGAAGACAGACAGACAUGGUCUCUACCUUCAUGACAUGUUGAGUUAGGCAGAGAAGAUUAAACAAACUGAUUAAAGUCCCCGCUGCUGUUUGUAUCCUCCUUUAUGUCUUGUACACAUUGGGUGUUUAAUAAAUGCUUGCUGGUGAGUGGGUUCUCAGCUGGCUUAUUCUCUGACCGUGUCACUCUCCUCCUUCUUGUUUUGCAUUUGUGAGGCUGAUUCCAAGGCUGGACCCUUACCUGUUUCCUGUCCUGAUUGGGCUAUCUCUGAUCUCAGGUGUCAUCAAUUAAUAAGAGUAAUAACCAGCAUUUAUUAAGUGCAUGUUAAAUGUCAGGUGCCAAGCACUUGCUGACACAAGUAGUAUAAUCUUAUCUAAUCUUCACAACCACCCCAUGGGAUAGGGAUUAUUAUUUGACCUAUUUUACCAAAGAGGAAAAUGAGGCACAGAGGUGUGAACCGAGAUGCAAACCCAGGCAGUCUGGCCUUGGAGUCCGUGUUGUGACCCCACUGUGUUGUCCUGGCGUGUGGACAGCAGGUCAGAAACACCCUUUCUCACCCGAUUGGUAGAAACUUACUGCCUUUUCAUGGACAGAGAGCUGUUGCUGAGUUGGUCCAGCUUGCAUCCCCGACUCCAGGAAUCGAGCAUGGCAGCACUGGGGUCCUUGAAGUUCCUCGCUGGCUCCCCUCUCAUGUUUCAGCCAGGAAACCAAGGCCCAGGAAUGGGGAGGGACUGGCCUAAAGGUUCAAGGCCAAACCUUGGCCCAGCGUGGCUCUGGGUGCAGGUGCUUCCACCCCAGAGUGGCACCCACUCCACCCCCUCCCUCAGUCCAGCAGGGGUACAGUAGUGAACAAGGCAGGCCAAGGUCCCUGCCCAGAUGUACCUUACAUUCAUGGGGGGGACAUGGGACGGCAGACAGAAAGUGCACAGUAGUCCACGCAUUUGGUGGAUUAAACAGGUUUGUGCUGCGGGAAGUAGGACAGUGGGAACCAGGGGGCCCUCACCUUUCCUCACUGCCCUGAAGGAGGUGAGGGAGAGUCCUGCAAAACUCUGAGCAUUUCCGGCAGAGGGAACACAUAGCAAGUACCAAGGCCAGGCCCGAGGAAGGAAUGGGCCUGGUGUGUUCAGGACAGAGCAAGGAGGCCAGUAGCCAUUGUGGAGUGAAUGAAGUGGAGAGAGGAAGGCAGAGGUGGCUUCUAGCUGGGUGGAGGAGUCUGCCUCCUCCAGCUCCCUGCUUGGCUCAGGGCCCAUGUGAGGUUUUGUGGAAAGUCUGAAGGUAACAAGGGCUCAGAGUGGUAGGUGUUCCUACUCUUUCUGGCCCCUGCCUCCUGACCAAGGGAUUUCCAGAAUAAGACAGCCUACCUGCUCCUGUAACCUCCUCUCACCUGUGGUGCGGUGGCCAGACUCCACAGAACUUUCUAGAGAGAGGUCAAUGAGGGGGUCAGGUACUCGGUGGCCUGGCUGAAGCUCUACCAUGCGGGGUGCUCUAGAGUGGAAAUGAGCUUGCUCUUUGCUCUAGUCAAGGACUUCUCAAAACUCCACAGCUGUCCUAGGCAGAGGCCUCUGUCAGUCACUGACUUUCCUAGGAACUUAUGAGAUCCUGGUCAUCGUUCCGAGGGGGACUGUGAUGAGAGGACACCCUCAGUGAACACUGACUUCUUUGGACCCCCAUCCCUGCUCCUCCUAUUGUGGCCUCAGCAGGAGGUCCUUACAUGAUGUAGGGUCUUGUGGGGACACAAGCCACAAGGCUAAGGCUUUUUUGCCAGGUUGGGGGUGGGGGGCACUCAGCUUCUGCUGUCUGUGCAAGCUGGUGUUGUGUCCUCCCUCUUCCCUGCAGUCGCCUCUCUCUGAUUGAAGGGCUGGUUUUAUUCCCGAGCUGCCUCAGGGCUCCUCUUUCUGAUUGCAUUAAAGUCUCCCUAAUUCUCCCCUCAUUAAUGAUUGGCAUAUUUUUACCUCUCACUGAAGGAGCUUCAAGGCGACUCCCUGGGGGCCCUCCUCUCUCCGAAUGAAACAAUUUCAUCCUGCUCCAGAAACGCAUUAAAAAGGGUUUGUCAGGAUCUUAUCACCAGUUAGAGAAAGCUAAUCAAAUUACUUCUAUUUAUUAGCCGACCAGCAGUGUGGCAUUCCAUCAAGCCCUGGUCUCGGCUGCCGCCUGGGUGGGCAUGCACUGAGCACCCUGGCAUCCUGUCGUGUCUGGAGGUGGGCAAUGUGGAUGGGCUGCCCCUGCCCAGCCAGUCUCUCUGCCCCAAGCUGGCACAGGAGAGCUGGGAGGAGCUACGGGUGCACCCAAGCCAUAGUUAUCUGCUGCUCAUCAAAGAUGGCUCCUUACAGGCACCUGCCUGUUCUGCUCAGCCAGAGGGCGCAGCUCAGCCCCGGGCUGCCUGUCCUUGGCAGAACUGGAUGUGAAACAGCAGUGCAUUUAUAAGGAGACAUAUUCUCCCUCCUUUGGAAGAGAAGGUUAUGACUUAUUUUGUUUUCCUCUAGGGAUUUGUGUUGUUUUUUUUAAAUAGAGUGCACCCCCAAAUUGGUAAUAUGUUGUUAUGUUUCAUGUUUUAAUAACAAAAUUACCAUUUGAUUUUGUUUGUGUGCUCCACUUCUCCGCAUCAUCUUGUGCAUUAUUUUCUCCGCCUCCCUAGUGAGGAGUAUCAUAAAUUUAUCACACAUCCUUCUAGGACCUUAAUGAGUCUUGUAAAUAACUGUGUGUGUCCAAGAAUGGUACAGUCCUGUUCUGUGCUACCGUGGGAAUCAGCAUGGGCUCUGGGCGUGCAGAUCUGAUUGAACUGCCCCAGGCCUCAGUUUCCCCAUCUCCAAAGUGGGGAUAAUAAUAGCACCCACUUUUCAGGAUUUGUAGUGAGGAUGAAAUGAGAUACCUGAAGCACAUAGCAGAGGACCCGGCCUGGUAAGUGCUCAUGAAUGCCAGCCAUGGUCAUUACCACUACCACCUGCACCUCCUGGGGGCCCAUGUGCAUCCCAGCCCCAUUUCACAUGAGGUCAGCUGCAUAAGGAUGUGUGGUGCAUAGGGUCCCUCAGGACGCAGCUGUGUGGACACGUGUGUGCUCUGCCCUGGAAUUCCCUGCUCACAGGAAGUGGGCUGGGUGGGAGAACAGGCCAGACUUGGCCCAGCCUCCCUGAGCAGACCUGGGCUGAGCAGAAGAGCAGCCCCACCCCCGCCAGCCCUCAGCAAGGGCCACCCCAGCUGCGCACCGCCUCCGUGGCCCUGGGAAUGGUUCAAAAGGCUGUGCUGCGUGCCCCAUCACGUCGCACAAAAGGACAUAUUGAUUGGUUUGUAGAAGCAUUUCCUGGGGUCCUUUAUAUCUCUCUCCCUCGUCACCCGUAAUGAAGAGGCCGAGGCACAGAGGAGGGAGAGGCCGGCCCACAUCCAUCCGGGUGGGAUUUCUUCAUCUUAUCAAUCAGGACUUUAAUUAGACACGUCCGAGAGGGCAGUUCCAUCUCGGGGCAGGCGGCAAUCUUUAUCAAGCAUGCCACAUCUCUAAUUACUGUGUACUGACAGAUAACAGUUGGGGGCAGGAUGGGGGGCCCAGGAGGCAGGGAAAGGACAGCAGGGCUGGAGAGUGGCCAUUUGCCCAAGGAGAGCGUCCUUCCAAGACAGCCUGGACAGGAUUGCUCUAACUCUGAUGCCUAGGGGCAGGGGAUGUGGCCUCAGAUAACACCCCUCACAGUGAUUGCAGGUUGAGCCAUGGUGAAUGGCCGGGUCACUAGCUGGACAGAUGUAGGGAUCCCAUGUCCCUGACCACAGCCCAUGCUCCCAACACAUACAUCUUUCUUUUCUUUACAUCUGAACUUAAUCGUUGCUCAGUUUUUGCUGAUUUAGUAGAAAGAGCCAGGAAAACCGAGACUUAAACCUACAGCUUGGCUCCACAUUGGGCAGCUUAUGUGACUUUAGACAAAUGUCCUACCCUCUCUGGGCUCAGCUGCCUUCACUGUCAGAUGGGAUAGUCCCACCCAUGGUAGGACUCCCUCGGAUGUGAGUGGAGAUGACCUAUGCGUAGGAAUGUGUCCUCCCCACCUCCUGCUCCUUGCCCAUCAGGGGACAGUUUGUGCAUUUGUGACAGAGGAACCAUUCAGAUGAUCAAAGCCUAAGGACAAGUCUCCCAUCUUUCCUGGGUGAGUCGUGAGUUUUCUGCUCAGCAGUAUUGACAUGCCAUCAGGGAUGGCGGACCUGGGGGUGACAGCAGGCUCCGUGUCCAGAGAGGUAAGGGAAUUUACACACUUUCUACAGUGAGUCGAGUUGGGCUGCCUGCUCUCUCUGCGAGUCCAGUUGCUGAUUUUCUCUGAGUCUUGGAUCCUGGGGAGCUGAACGGGUGUAGUCUUCCUCCACUUCAUGGAUGGAUAGAGACACAAAACAGGUUGGCCCAGCCCUGCUCUCAGGCGCUGCCCAGAACGUUAAUGGAGACACGCUGCCCUAGCCCCCUAAUCCAAUCCACGUGCUCCAAGCUGUCUGGGAUUCUCCCUUGCUCCUCUCCCCCUCCAGGGACUGGGUCUCUUGCCUCUGGGUUCUCCCCUUGCCAACCUGGAGACCUGGUAUUCCCCAGAAGAGAGACCUGCAAGGUCCUUGAGGAGCACUUACUGCUGGAUCUAGUCACCUAGCUCUCAGCCUGGGUGGCUUGUGUCCUGCUGUCCCCUCCUCGCCCCAGCUACCACAUUCCAGUCACUUUCAGAGAUACCUCAAAAUCCUCUCCCUUUUGGCUUGUCCUCCAACAAAUAGCUCCUGUCAUCUACUCCCUGUGAGUCCCCAUCCCUGAGGCUACUGGUCCUGUUUGGUUCCUUAAUCCCAGGCCUUAGGGGCCAACAUUCUCUUGAGACUUGGCUUGAAGGCCACAAGUGCUCGUGGCCUGCAGGGUCUCAGCCAGGCCCCAGCAGGACAGGCCAAGUGCUCCAGGAACCUGUGGAAGCAGCCUUGCCAGGCACGGGCCUCACCUCCUUUCAGAGAGGUUACUAUCCCACACUUGUCUCAAGAGCCAGACUCUGGUCCUAAUUCAGGUGGUCACAUGGGUAUUCUUUAAACUGGAUGGCACAGGCUUGGGAGUGACCCAGAAUGUCCCUGACAGGACUUCCCACGAGGAGCUUGGACACACUCAGACUCAUCUUUCUCCAAGUGGAUGUGGAACUCCCAUGCUGGAGAGAGGCCAGGGCUGGAGGCCAGGCUCUGGGAGGUCAGAGUUCACGGGUCCUGGAGGCUGCACGGUGAGGAUGCUAGCCUGCGGUACACUGGACUUGGGCUGAUGGGGACCUCUGAGUGGAGCUUCAGAACACCAGGCCACUGGGACACAGUAGCGGCCGUGGUGAUGGGGGUGUGCCGAGAAGGAAAGGAGCCGUCCCUCCUUAAGAGAGAGCAGGGUGUGGGCAGAUGGAGCCACACACGGGCCCCACUGGAGUAGAGAGGGGCUCUGGGGAUGGCAUAAUGGGCUUUCACAGGAAGGGGCAGCGCCCGGGCCACAGUGUCAGUUGGUCUUUCUGGUNCGAGGCACAGAGGAGGGAGAGGCCGGCCCACAUCCAUCCGGGUGGGAUUUCUUCAUCUUAUCAAUCAGGACUUUAAUUAGACACGUCCGAGAGGGCAGUUCCAUCUCGGGGCAGGCGGCAAUCUUUAUCAAGCAUGCCACAUCUCUAAUUACUGUGUACUGACAGAUAACAGUUGGGGGCAGGAUGGGGGGCCCAGGAGGCAGGGAAAGGACAGCAGGGCUGGAGAGUGGCCAUUUGCCCAAGGAGAGCGUCCUUCCAAGACAGCCUGGACAGGAUUGCUCUAACUCUGAUGCCUAGGGGCAGGGGAUGUGGCCUCAGAUAACACCCCUCACAGUGAUUGCAGGUUGAGCCAUGGUGAAUGGCCGGGUCACUAGCUGGACAGAUGUAGGGAUCCCAUGUCCCUGACCACAGCCCAUGCUCCCAACACAUACAUCUUUCUUUUCUUUACAUCUGAACUUAAUCGUUGCUCAGUUUUUGCUGAUUUAGUAGAAAGAGCCAGGAAAACCGAGACUUAAACCUACAGCUUGGCUCCACAUUGGGCAGCUUAUGUGACUUUAGACAAAUGUCCUACCCUCUCUGGGCUCAGCUGCCUUCACUGUCAGAUGGGAUAGUCCCACCCAUGGUAGGACUCCCUCGGAUGUGAGUGGAGAUGACCUAUGCGUAGGAAUGUGUCCUCCCCACCUCCUGCUCCUUGCCCAUCAGGGGACAGUUUGUGCAUUUGUGACAGAGGAACCAUUCAGAUGAUCAAAGCCUAAGGACAAGUCUCCCAUCUUUCCUGGGUGAGUCGUGAGUUUUCUGCUUAGCAGUAUUGACAUGCCAUCAGGGAUGGCGGACCUGGGGGUGACAGCAGGCUCCGUGUCCAGAGAGGUAAGGGAAUUUACACACUUUCUACAGUGAGUCGAGUUGGGCUGCCUGCUCUCUCUGCGAGUCCAGUUGCUGAUUUUCUCUGAGUCUUGGAUCCUGGGGAGCUGAACGGGUGUAGUCUUCCUCCACUUCAUGGAUGGAUAGAGACACAAAACAGGUUGGCCCAGCCCUGCUCUCAGGCGCUGCCCAGAACGUUAAUGGAGACACGCUGCCCUAGCCCCCUAAUCCAAUCCACGUGCUCCAAGCUGUCUGGGAUUCUCCCUUGCUCCUCUCCCCCUCCAGGGACUGGGUCUCUUGCCUCUGGGUUCUCCCCUUGCCAACCUGGAGACCUGGUAUUCCCCAGAAGAGAGACCUGCAAGGUCCUUGAGGAGCACUUACUGCUGGAUCUAGUCACCUAGCUCUCAGCCUGGGUGGCUUGUGUCCUGCUGUCCCCUCCUCGCCCCAGCUACCACAUUCCAGUCACUUUCAGAGAUACCUCAAAAUCCUCUCCCUUUUGGCUUGUCCUCCAACAAAUAGCUCCUGUCAUCUACUCCCUGUGAGUCCCCAUCCCUGAGGCUACUGGUCCUGUUUGGUUCCUUAAUCCCAGGCCUUAGGGGCCAACAUUCUCUUGAGACUUGGCUUGAAGGCCACAAGUGCUCGUGGCCUGCAGGGUCUCAGCCAGGCCCCAGCAGGACAGGCCAAGUGCUCCAGGAACCUGUGGAAGCAGCCUUGCCAGGCACGGGCCUCACCUCCUUUCAGAGAGGUUACUAUCCCACACUUGUCUCAAGAGCCAGACUCUGGUCCUAAUUCAGGUGGUCACAUGGGUAUUCUUUAAACUGGAUGGCACAGGCUUGGGAGUGACCCAGAAUGUCCCUGACAGGACUUCCCACGAGGAGCUUGGACACACUCAGACUCAUCUUUCUCCAAGUGGAUGUGGAACUCCCAUGCUGGAGAGAGGCCAGGGCUGGAGGCCAGGCUCUGGGAGGUCAGAGUUCACGGGUCCUGGAGGCUGCCCGGUGAGGAUGCUAGCCUGCGGUACACUGGACUUGGGCUGAUGGGGACCUCUGAGUGGAGCUUCAGAACACCAGGCCACUGGGACACAGUAGUGGCCGUGGUGAUGGGGGUGUGCCGAGAAGGAAAGGAGCCGUCCCUCCUUAAGAGAGAGCAGGGUGUGGGCAGAUGGAGCCACACACGGGCCCCACUGGAGUAGAGAGGGGCUCUGGGGAUGGCAUAAUGGGCUUUCACAGGAAGGGGCAGCGCCCGGGCCACAGUGUCAGUUGGUCUUUCUGGUGUGAGCCACUUUGACCCUCUGUUUAAUCUGGACACAAAUUCUAGAGGAGGAGACAUUCUAUAGGGAAGAAGGAAUGGCAGGGGCUAAGACCAGUGGUCAGUGGGGAGCUUGGUGAGAGCCCCGAGCAAGCCCGCAAGAAGCGCCUGCAGAUCCCCCGGCCAGGGAGAUGCCGCUGACCACAGGGGAGGGGACCUCUCCUGACACUUAGCACAUACAGACGUCUGCAGUCACGUGAAUGAGGGAUCAUCCCCACCAGCCCAGAUGAGGGGCCUGGCAAGUGAGAGAGGCACAGGGAAGGCCGAGGGGUUAAGACCUGGGCUAUGGAGCCAAAGAGCUGGGACUUGGACUUUGUCCACUUGAGCCUUGAUUUUCCUUAUCUAUAUAAUGGGAAUGGUGCUGUUCGUGAGGCAGAGUUGCUGGGUGUCCAUGGGCAUGUUUCCUGGUACAGUUCCUAGUAGAAACUCGACAAAUAAUAACCAGCUGAUCAUUCAUUGAGAAAAUACUUGUUGGGUGCCUACUGUAUAUCAGGCAUUGUGCCAGAUCCUGGGUCACAGCAGUCAACUUGACAGCCAAGCUCCUACUCUCAGGCACUUCUGUUCUGGUGGGCAGUGACCAAGAAAGCCCAAAAUGUGACCAUAUAAAGCCCACUAAGCUGCAGUGCAGGAAAUAAACAGGGAGAGUGAGAGAGGGUUCUGCAGAAGAUGGGAAUCUUUGAGACAGGGUGUUCAGGGGAGGCUUCUCAAUUUUGGAAGGGGAGGGGUCUCACCCAUGCCAAUGGCAGUCCAGAUAGAAGGGUCAGGGAGUGGAGUCUUUGCAGCGUUGGAGGAACAGAAAUGAGCUGAGCCACAUGAGAGAAGGGCUGUCCCAGAAGGAGCAAGAGCCAGGGAGCAGGCAGGGCCCACAGGGCAUGGUAGGUAGGGCUUGGUAGGUUAUGCUAAGCACAGUGUGAAGUCAUGGGGUGAUCUGAAGGAGGGGGCAAGGGCUUGGUGCAUGGCUGAAAGCAUGGUCUCUGGAGUCACACCUCCUGGGUUUGAAUCCGGCAAGUGUAAUCAACACCCCAAAAUGUAGUGUCUUAAAAUAAUAGCAAUUAUUUCUUUUGCUUACAAACCUGAAAUGUGGGCCAGGUUUGAGGAGGGAGUGGCUGCUGCUUCUUGUGGAAGCUGAGGUGAGUCACCUAGAGCUGGGGUGAUGCUCUAAGUGGUUCUGGCUGCUGGCCGGCACUCAGUUCCUCUCCACAUGGGCCUCUCCACGUGCCUGCUUGAGCUUCCUCACAGCAUGGUAGUUGGGUUCCAAGAGCAAGUGUCCCAGGCUGCACAGCUUCUUUUCACCUGGCCUUGGAGAUCAUCACCUCCACCUGAUUCAAUUGAUUGAGUGAUGACAGCCAGCCCCAAUUCAAGGGAACAGGAAUUAGACCCUAUUUCUUACUGAGAGUCCUAAAGGAUUUACAGCCAAAGAGUUUGAAGAGAUAGGUUGGGUGAGGGGCAGAUCAGGCAAAACUUCGUAGGUCACAGUAAAGAGCUUUCAUUUUCCUUUAAGUGCAAUGUGAAAUCAUUAAUGGUUUUAAAUAGGGGGGUGACGGCCAAUGCAGUGACAGAGAGCGUGAAUUCUGAAAUUGGACUGCCUGGAUUCAAAUGAGGCCUGCAUGAAUUAGCUGUGUGUCUUUGGACUUGUUUCAUGACUUCUCUGGGCUCAGUUUCCUUAUCUCCAAAAUGAGAUUAGUAAUAGCACCUGCCUCAGAGUUCUAUGCUAAGGAUGAAAUUAAUUCAAUUCUCAUGAAGGACACAAUAGUUUCUAGCACAUAUUAUGUGCUCAGAAUGUUCACCAUUGUUACUCAAAUUAUGCUUUCCUUCACUUGUUUGGCUGCAGGGCAGAGGAAGCAUUGCAGAAUGGCUCGAAUAGAAUCAAGGAAAACCAAUUAACAGAGCCAAGACUUGAAUUCAGACCCACCAGGCUCUCUGCUCACAAUUGUUUUAUUAGGUAUCUGCAGUGUGCUGGGUGCUGUAACAAAUUACCACCAACCAAGUGGCUUGAAACUCAGGGAACUUAUUCUCUUGCAAUUCUGGAGGCUAGAAGUCCAAAAUCAGGGUGGAUCUCUAGGAAGCGUCUCUUCCCUGUCUCUCUCCUGGCUUCUGGGGGUUGGGGAGCGCCUCGUGUUCCGUGGCUCGAGUCUGCAUGGCUCCCAUCUCUGCCUCUGCCUUCACAGGGCUUCUCCCCUGUGUCUGUGUCUCUUGGCCCCAAAUUCCCUCAUCUUAGAAGGACAUCAGGGCCUUCUGGAAUCCAGCAUGGCCUCACCUUAGCUUGCACAUCUGCAAAGAUCUGUUUCUAAAUAAGGUCACGUUCACAGGGCGGACGUGAGUUUGGGGAAUACACUAUUCAACCCCAUCCUGGUCAUGGCUGUUGUCAGGACUGAAAGAGAUGAACUAGCUCAAGGUGGGGGUAAUCUGCUGCCCCAAUUCCUGUACCACCCUGUGUCCUAAGCAGGGGAUAGUGACAGCGCUAACCAGCCAAGUCACCCAGAACUCAGCCUCCUCUAAACACCUAAAGGACAGACCCAGAAGUGACCGCUGCUCAGGGGUGCCCUUCCCUGGCUCUCCCCAGGCAAGACCCUUGGCUUCCUGGGUUGAAAGCAGGAGGCAGAGAGGACCAGGGUCAGCACGGAGCUACUGUCUGCAGGAAGCAUGGAGCUCUGCCUGGUGGAGCCAACAGGGGAUGCCCGCCGCCAUGCCCCUCUUCCCAGUUCCCCAGCAGCCAGCUCCUCUUAAGUACCUGGGCUCUGCACAGCACCCCCAACUGGCCCCUGCCUUGGGUCUGUUCUCCUGGAGGCCAGGCCACAGACACCUGCCCUGGCGACUCCCUAGAUGGCCCCCAGCCAGGCUGCACGGAAGCCCUUCAAGGUCUAAGGAGUAUGCCCAGGAUCAACCAGGAUCCCAUAAUUGGACUGUUGUUCUUUCAUUUUGCCACGUUGCAGCGUGCGGAUUAUAGACACCACAUGGUAUAGAUUUCCUGUCAGAGCUCAUGAAUCAAGCCCCACUGUCUUAUUUACUGUGGGCCAGCGGCUGUGAAUAGCAUCACCCAACAUGCGCUCACGUGCGCAUGUGAACACUGCCCGCACAGCGGGGCCAAGCCUGGCUCCCAGACGCCUCUGCCGGGUGCAGCAGGCAGAGGGGCUCCCGGGUGCUGUCCCUCCUGCCCUGGCUUCUGGGGAACAAGCAAGGGGGCUGGGCACCUAGGCAGCUGCUUAACCCUGGGGGAGAUUACUCCAGUCAGACUUUAUCUUUCCUCAUCUAGCUUAGGGCUACCUUCUGGGGGCCUCCGGAAGUGUCCUGGCCUCAGACCAAACUCUGGUGGUGGAUGCUCUGCCUUGGGUAGUGGGAAUAGAUUAAUAGUGUGCAUGGGCUUUGGAGGCAGAGAUGCCGUUCAAUCUUAGCUAGGCCUCUUACUGUCAUGCCACCUGGGCUAGCUACACACUCCCUGGGUCUUGUUUUUCGUAUCUGUGUAAUGGGUUCAUAGUAAUUGUUCGUGAAUGUGUAAGAGACAGAGAUGCACAGAGAGAAAAGUACAUGAAAAUUCAUGUGAGGCAUUUAGCAUAGUCAGCAGGGCCUGAUCACUAGCAGUCAUGGUAAUGGGUGCUAAAGCCACUGCCCAUGUGUUAAAGGGGUGGUCCUCAUCUUGGAGCUAUUGGGAAGUGCUGCAACCAGAAGAGGUGUGGCAGAGUGGAAGGUCUUCAGGUCACUGGGGAUGACAUGGAGGGGACUGUGGGACCUGAGUCACUCUUGAAAUGAGCAGUUUUGCUCUGCUUCAUGCCUCUGCCAUGACACACUGCCUCAGUGCAUGUCCAAAGCGAAGAGUCUAGUUGAUCAUGGACUGAAAACUCCAAAACUGAGUCAAAAUAAACCCUUUCAUCUUAGAAGGGGAUUUCUCUCUGGUACUUGCUAUAGUGCCAGAAGCUGAUUGUCACGCUCAGCUGGCUCACUUCAUCUGCCCAACAACUCUUCCAAGUGGGUGUCACUCCAUUCUGCAUAAAAAGGACCUGGAUUUCUGAGGGGUUGAGUAAUUUGUCCAAAGUUGCACAGCGAGUAAGUGAUGGAGCCAGAACUCAAACCCAGCCCUGCCUGACCCUAAAGGUCCAAGACAUUUCCAUUCAGCUCACCUUGAGGUCAAGGAUUAUGCGCAAAGAGUUCAGGAGCCUCCUCAUCACACUGAUCCAGCCACUGCCAUCUUUCUGGCCCUCUCUUGCCCUUGGAGGGGCUGCAGAAAUGGCUUUUUAUCCUCCUCAUAGUUCAGGACUUGUUAGACUUGAGGGGUUUGGGGAAUAGAGUAUGCUCAUCAUUAUUGGAUGCCACUAGACUGUGGGCUUCCUGCAGGUAUGGUCCAUGGCUCUCCGAUCCACUCCUCUCCCUACCCCUGAACUGGCCAGGAACUAUUUGGAUGGAUGGAUGGAUGCGUGGCUGGGUGGCCGGUGGAUGGCUGGCUGGAAUCUUUUCAGAAUGUGUGGGAGGUUUUUAUCUAAAUACCUGCCACAUUUUCCAUUGAAUCUGUCGCUGAGUGCCCAGUAAUAACAGCCACUUCAAGGAGGCACAAACCAGGGAAAAUCAUCAUGAAGAUGCAAAUCCCGCUGCUGUGAUUCAAGGGUGAUGCUGGAACCUAGAACCUUUGCUAGAACCCAAGGAAACAUGGACAACUUUCCUCUAGGCUCAGGGCUGGACUCUGUCCUUCUCAAGGUCUGUGUCCUUCACAGCCAUAAGACUUAGAUUCCUUUAAAUUCCUUUCUUAUGUCUUGAAAUUGUUAAGUCAGGAAAAAGGACCAGACUUCAGAUUUUCUGGUCUGUUCUCCCUCCUGGUCAGCUACACUAGGCUCAGCCUCCGCUAACUUAAAACCCCUGUAGUUUUGAGAAAGUGGGACCUUUCACCUCCUCAGUCUCAGCUUCCUGAUCCAUAAAACAGAAAUGAGGACCUCAAGGGUGUCAUGGAGCUUGGAAUCUUUGAUUCCUCUCCCCAAACCCAGAAUGGAAGAUCAUAUUUCAUUUUUUUUUCUGUGUCUUAGCAGACACAGAGACUGUGUUAAAUAAAUAUAGUGGAGGGUUGUGGCGCUUUGGGGUGCUACCCAGGGCUGUAGAGGUCUGAGCAUGGAGCGAUGACAGGCCGGUAGGCUCCUUGCGCCCAGGAUGCUGGACCUGGUUUCUCCCUGCUCGAGGGCACACAGGGCGGGAGUAAGAUCCUCGGCUGAGUUGGAAGCCACUAACCCCCAGGCCUGUCCCAUGAGUCAUCCCCCACUUCACACCUCCCCUGAAAGGCUUUCACGGGCUUGUUCUGUACCCAGAGGAAAUGCUUCAUCCUCAAAUGUAAUUGUGUCUGAGGAGGUGUCCUCUGUGACCAGGCGGGUCACGGAGCCAACGAGUGAGUCAGCGCAUCCGGCAGAGUUAAUUAAAGCAGAGGGCUGCGGAGUCCAGAGCGCAGGGCUGCGAAGGUGGGCGGCGACGCCCAUGAUGAACGGGCUCCCUCGGUGGCCAGCAGGGGACACAAAGGGGUGCUGCGAAUCUUUGGGUGCAAGAACCAGGGGAGCCAAGGCCGCAGUGGCUCUCCCAAUGAGCUCAGUACGGGGACAUAACAUUGGCUCUUUCUGCUUCCUUUGAAUUCUACACAUGAUAUUCAUGAAUAAUCAGAGUUUCCUGGGACUCUUCUGUGCCCAGAGGGCUGGACUACUCUGGGAGGGGGAGGGGUAAUUUCCUUAGAAUGCACUGACCUUUCCGGAAAGGGGUGCCCUCAUGGUAGGUACCCAAGAUGUCCUAGAAUGGUGCUUGACACAUAGUAGGCACUUAAUCGAAAGCCCUAGAAUGAAUGAAUAGGUUUAGAUUCUCUGAUUAAAGUUUAGCUGAGCUACUGGUAGCCUGAUGGGUGGUGAGGAAAGAAUGAAAAAAAGAGGAGCUGUUAAGUAAAAGAGAGAUGCAGCCACCAGGAUGGAAACUCCGCGGAGGCAGGAUGCUUUGUCUGUUCUCACUGCUGGCUCCAAGUAGGUGCUCAUUAAAAUGUUUAAUAAUGAAUCAACAGCCAGGUGUAGUGUGCUGAGGUUGUUACACCUGCCAGGCUGAGGCAGGAGGACUAUAAGUUCAAGGCCAGAUUGGGCAGCUUGGUGAGACCCUAUCUCAAAAUAAAACAUUUUAAAAGUAGUGUGGGGGAGGGGGGGCUCAGUGAUAGAGUGCUUGCCUAGAAGCAUGUCCCUGGGUCCAAUUCCUAUACAGAAUUAGGAAAAAAAAAAAAAAAAAGAAUGAAUCAAGGAGAAAAAGAAGGAAGGAAGAAAGGAGAGAAGUGGACAGACUCAGGAAAAGGUAGGAGGCUUCCCAGCUAGGGAAGUCCUGCACACAGCUGGGUAGUAAGUUCCAUGCAACCAGGAAGUGUCUAAUGAAAGACGGUGUGUCUGAUGCGAUUCGAACAGUAUGAUUCUCUAUCUCACUUCUUGUGCCAUUUUCAGGCUUCUGUUCCUGUGGGAGACAGGUGUUCUCUUAGAGAAUGAUGUUGGAGAUUUCUUUUCUCCCUCCUCACCCUCAAUACACCCACCGAUCUGCUCCAACUUCUAACUUCCACCCCAGAGGAAAUCCCAACGGAGAGCUGUCUCCUGUCCUAGAUGGGCAUCUGCCCCAAGUCUCUGCUCCUUUCCCUCCCUCUACAUGAUCCAGAAGGAACCUGUGCCUUCCCCGACACCAUGUCCUUCCUCCAGGCAGCAGGUACUGUGGGCAGGACGGGCUUCGUGCCUAGCUCCCUUGGACAGUGGAAGGCACUGUGCUUGACACAGGCGAAUUAGAGCAUCCCUGCCCUGGCAAAGUCUGCUGACUUCCUAGAGAAACAGGCCAUGAGCAUAUGAGUCCGCACACCCAGGGGGAUUUUGAUGGGCUGAGGGGUUAGAGAAAUGACCUCCUGGGAGAUUGUCCAGGAGAUUCAGAGUGACUGUCACAGAAGCCCCAACCUCCCAGGAUGGUAGAAGCCACUAAGUCCCAUGUAUCUAUGUCAAUGAGGCAUUGGGUUGCUCUCCAGUUUUCCAAUGUGGCACUUCGUUCCUUUCCAACUAGAGUAUCCUAAGCCAAAUGGGUUGAUAGUCUGUCUCCCUGAACCUGCAGCCCUCAGGUGAGCCAGGUACAAUGACAGUCAUAUUGAGGCUUUGUGGGGUGACUGUUGAAUGAGAGACCAGUCUAGGCAUGACUCCUCACAGGGCUGAUGGCCCACCUGGACACAGCUGGAUGGACUAGUGUGACGCUCCCUCUCCCUUUGCCCUGUCCCUCUCCAGGAAUCAAUGGGCAGUACAUCAGUGACAUGCAGCUUUGGCAGUGCUGAGUGAGGCUGGCAGAGUGGGGCUGGCAGGUGAGGUGCAGGGGCCCUGGGCACACCUGCCUGCUGUCUGCCUGGCCUCUGCCAACUGCAUACACCUUUGUCAUCCUGACUGGGGACCAUGAGUGAGUUCAUAUAGAGGACAGUGAUGCUGAGGCCCCUGGCUUGGGUUUGGUGCCUUUGUGACCAGUGAACUGGGCACCUGUGCAUGGCUACCUUUUUGACCCUGAUUUUGACCACUGUGUGAACCUGAUCCUUGAUCCUCAUGAACAGGAGCAUGUUAACCUGUUAAAGUCAGUUCCCAGGGCAGCUGAAACAGAGUCCCUACCACACAUUUGAUGGCUUAGAGCAACAGAAACUGACUCCUUCACAAUUCUAGAGGCUAGCCAUCCAAGGUCAAGGUGUGGCAGGACCAUGCUCCCUCUGAAACCUGGAGAGGGGAUACUUCUAUCUCUUUUUCUCACAUCUGGUGCUCAGUGGCCAUCGUUGGAGCCCUGGAAGUUAGGGCUUGCACAUAUCUUUUUGGGGAACACAAUUAAACCUAUAACAAUCAUUGAUCCUCUACCUGCUGGGGGAAGGUCAGAAAUACUGUCAUAGACAUUACCAUAAGCACACAUGGCGUCUUCCCAUUAACUCCCAAGGAGCAAGGUUAAGGGCGAGGGGAUAGCUGAUGGAAGAACAUCAACUCCAAGAAAGCAAGGAUUUUCAUCUCUUCUGUUUAUUAUUGAGUCCCCAGCACCUAAACAGGGCCUGGCACAGAGUAAGUGCUCAGUAAGUAUUUGUUGAAUCAAUGAGUAAAUUAACAUGGGGGUGGAACUUCCAGAAACCAAGUGAGAGCUUAACUGUGUAACCAGGGAAUAUUCCUCAUUUCCCUGGCUCUUUCCUCCUCUGUAAAGUGGGGCUAUAAAUACAAUGUCCUCUUCACUGGGAACCUAUGGAAACCCAGAAACUCAGUAGCUGGCACACUGUAAGUGCUCAAUAAAUGUUCAUUAAAUCAGAAUAUGCCCAGAGGCCUUUGUGUAGUCUGAGUUUUUAGGCAGCUGGCGUGAUGUCAGCACCCCAAGUGGGCGCUUAACUUUUCGGCCCUAACCAGUGGUCUGCUAGGGAGAAAGUGACAGGCCAUCCCUGGGAAGUAGGAGGAGCAGGGUAACUAGGGAUUAUUACAGGGCACCAGUUAAGGGCACAGACCCUGCCACACAGAGUGGGAAGGCGGGUUCAAAUCCCAGCUCGGGCCCUGGCUAGUGUUGGGGCUUCUGGCACUCGGAGGCCAGUUUCUCUGACCCUAUAAUGAGCACAGCGGUAGCAUCUGCUUUAUGGGUAUUGGCGAGGGUAGAAUGACUGGCACAUGAGUGACUUGGUGGUACUAGUGUCACUCUUCUAAACCCUCCGCCCGAUCGCUCCGUGAUAGAUCACUGGAAAGCCCUGACCUCGAACUCUACCGCACCUCGCGGGGUUUCCUUUCCGCAGCGCGCACACCGCCCACGGCUCGUGCCCACCCGCUGUCCCGCGGCGGAGCGCUCCGCAAACUCCGAGACCCAGCGCGCCCUCUGGUGGCGCACGGCCCGCCAUCGGUCGCGCGAGGGUCACCCAGUGGGCGCCUUCCGCAGCUCCUUCGCUUGGCGGGCAUUCCGAGGCGCCCUGGGUCUGGUCCUUCCUCCUCGGUGGCGUCGGUGAGCAGAACUGCCUCGCUCUGUGCCUCCCUCGCGCACGCGCGCGCCUGUCCGGGAGGGCGCCGAGUGCAGCCGGGCGCUGGGCAGAGACAGUGGGCGGAAUCCCAGGCGGUUGCCGGGCUUGUCCUCCGGUUUCCAGCCUCAACGUAGGGAGCACUGCUGAUGGGCGUCCCUUUUGCAAUCCCUGAUCUACCACUUCUUCUCUGGUGUGAGGAAGCAAACAGCAAGGCAGCUAGAAGAAUAUGACAUCUGCCAAUUUGCCUGUAUUUAGGGUCACCCGUGUGUGACCAUUUCCAUCUCUAGGUCUGGGGGACUCCCCCUCCCCCGUGCGGUUGUGUGGGCCUGUUUAGCCAUCCAGCCCCAUCAUUUGUCAGCGCCAGCAUUUAUUGAACUUAGUCUGUGCUGGGUGCUGUUUUAAGUGCUCUGGGUGUACAGUUCACCUUAUCCAAACAACAGAAGGACCUACAGCUGCAUUCGCACUUAGGACGACACUGAGGCACAGAGAGGGUAAGAACUUGUCCAAGAUCACAGAGCAGAGAUUUGAAUCCUGAGAGUAUAGCCUCAAGCUGAUGUCACCGCCUCCCCUCUCACGGCCUCCCCCACUGAAUUCUGGGUAGUCACCCCUACUUGCCUGCCCUUGCCGAUACAUUCCCUGACCUCUCCAUCUGCACUGCUUGCUUGGCAAGCUCCACUGGGAGCUCCUCCCUGCCCCUCUGUACCCCCAGGUCCCCACCCCAUGUGCUUGUCAUCUGUGUCACUAUGCCUCUGUUACUAGGCUGUGGCUAUUUGCAUUUGUGCUCCCCACCGCCCAGCACUGUGCUAGGCACACAGCAGGUGCUCCUGGGAUGGAGCCAGCCUCAGAGAGCAGCAGCCUUUCCCCUGGGAUCCAGCUGAGCUCACGGUUGUGUUUGAAAGGAGCAUUUUAGAGAUGGAAAUGCUGAGGUCACAGGGCUGCGGGAUCCAGGUGCACAGAGCAAACCAAACAGACUGUGAGAGGCAAGUGUGACCCACAGAACCUGCAGGCGGCCCCAGGGACGAAGAGCAGCCCUGUUUGUCCAGGGAGUCCUGGGCUUGGGCUGCACAGACCAAGGAGGAGAGGAUUUGAAACCAACAUUUCGUGUAUUCUCUAGGGUCUUGCCUUGAAAGAUGUCAUCCUUGGGGUACCGCUUCCUUCCUGGGUCUCCUUUCCAGUAGCCUUUGCCGUUUGAAGCAGGGACCAGGCAGCCAGAGACAGUGGGCACCCCAGGAGGAGUCAGAGGAGUUGAGGACAAAGAUGGAUACAGCUGUCGGAGUAGGGGAGCCGCUCUUAGGGCAGCUGGGGUCCAGAGCAAUGUCUGUGUCUCCUAGAGGCCCUGGUGCACGUUGACGCUCCUUUGUCCCUUUAAUGACUACAGCAUUGGCUCCACUCUCCACUCCCCUGCCCCUAUGUUGUUCCCAAGCCAUGUUCAAGGCUCAGUGCAGCUCACUUGCUCCCUGAGCCCUCAGGACAUGCUUCCCUCCCCCUUCCCCCGUACUCUGCAGAGGCUCUGCCACUGAGUACUGGAGCUCGAGUCAACGUGUGUCACUUCCAGGCCAGCCUGGUUUUCCCUGCCGUAGUAGGUGCUUCUCCAGGAGAAGGACCAGGGCUUCUGGGCUCCCUUUGCCCCCCCCCAGUGGCCAGCAUAAUGCUGGGUAUUAUUAAAUGCUCAAGAUGGGCAGGUGGUUCCUCCUCAGUUUCCUCCUCUGUGAAAUGGGAAUAAUGGAUUCCUUCGAGGCUGCGUCAGAACACCCAGCACCCAGCACGAGGUCAUUCCAGGUGAGUGCCCCAUCUUUCCUGCGGGCCCGUUCCUGCUGAGCCUCUGACUUCCUGUUCCCACCAGAGAAUGAUCUGUGGUGAAGAGCAAUCUCCUGUCCCCCACUCUGGGUUCAGGUGACUGGGGUUCAGAGGUUCAGAUGCCCGCUCCUCUGCCGUCUGGUCCCCCCACCUCAGGGAGCAGCUAGAGGGAAGCGCAGGGGCUCACUGGGCACCAGCUGCACAGAGGUGGGUCUCUCUUAUUCCUGCAAUGCCCAGCUGGAGCCCUGAGGGGCUCAGGGUAGAAGUUCAAGACCAGCCGUCACCCACUUGACCUGCUGGGGCCUCUUACCACCUUCCCCGUUAACAGAUGGGGGAAUCAUGGGUGGAGGGGUCAGAAAGGGCUUGGGUCAAUGUGGCAUGGGCAUGAGUAGAGCCUUCUUACCUUUUCUGUGUCUUCUGUGGCUUCAAGUAAAGCCUUGGGCCCUCAGUGUGUCCGGGGCUUAGUGAGUGGAUAUUAACACUCACAUCAUCCUUGGAGGCAGAACCACGCCUCCCACAACUGACAAAGAAAGAGCUGCAGAAAGGAUAAAUUAUAAAUAUGCUUAAAUUAUACAACUAUCCUCGGAAUCCAGCUUUGGAAACCUGUGUGUGUUUUUUUGUUUUGUUUUGUUUUGUUUUGUUUGUACUGGGGAUUGAACCCAGGGGUACUUAACCACUGAGCCACAUCCCCAGCCUUUUAAAAAUAAUUUUACUUAGAGACAGGGUCUCUCUGAGUUGCUUAUGACCUCACUAAGUUGCUGAGGCUGGCUUUGAACUUGCAAUCCUCCUGCCUCAGCCUCCUGAGCUGCUGGGAUUACGGGCGUGCGCCACCACACCUGGAUGAAACCUGUGUUCUUGAGCAGUAUGUUGUGCAGUCGCCAGGGUGACAGGUAAAAACCUAACCCCGCAGCCUGAUUUCUUCUAGUUGCAGCUGGCCUGUUUGGCCCCGGGCUCACGUCGCCCAUGUGAUUGGUUCUCACCCCUUAGACCUCCUGCUCUCUUCUCUGGGCUCACUCUAGCCUCGUCUUACCCUCUGGGCACCACCCACAUUUCAAAGUCCCUUGGGGACUGGGGGACAAGAAGCACAUGAAUCAGUAAUCACACCCAUCCGGCCCCAUCGGCUGGGCCACUGGGAUGGCUCUGGGCAGCUGCACCUCUGUGGGUUUGGACCUGGGCUUCCUCUCUGUGCAGCUUCAUGGCCCCUUGCUGCUCCUGCUCCUAUCACGAUUUCCAUCUGGCUUAGGGAAAGGAUUUUGCGAGACUGUUGAUGGCCACUGUUUCCUGGGGGGAUGCCCAGGGAAGCUCUCCGUGGACCCCACCUGCCCUACAAUGCAACCCCUGGAGAAGGCUGUCUGGGCUCCUGUUUAGGGUUCCUGCCUAGGAUCCCUGCCUAGCUGCAGGCCACCUGAUGGACAUCUAUUGGUACCUGCCACUCAUACCCAGUGCUACCAAAAGUAUUCUGAAUCCCCACGAUGAUGGGAGAGAGGAGUCUAUCUCCGGAAUUGUUGGGUGCUGGGAAAAGCUCAGAAAUGCACAAAAGUACUAUCCCAAAUGGGAUUUAACUUUUUCUUUUUUUUUUAAGUACAAGUAGUAGUAAUAAUAAUAAUAAUAAAGUGCAAGUACUUUUUAAAAAAUACUAUUUAAAUGUCCAGGGCAUUUCUGAGAGCUGUUUCUAAGGAAAUAAAAUAGUUCCAGAGAAGAAAAAGUAAUCACAAGCAGGGGCCAUAGCCCAAAGGUGGAGGUGUGGCCGAGCCCCUGGAGGUGCUGGUAGGAUGGGGGUUACAUGAUGCUGAGGAGGAGUAUCUCACAACAUGGAAUUUUAGUAUGACAAUAAGAUAAAACACAAAGCCACAGAGGUUAUAUGUGCAGGAGGGAAUGAGUGACACCCAAAUAAGUUUGGUAUAAGUAAGGUGACCAGGAGAGUAAUUUGACUGCUUUCAAAUAAUAUUCCUUGUUUUAAAAUAAUUUUCCUACUUUAAAAUACUCCUGAAAUUAAAAAGAAAUGAAUGAGGCAGGAGUCAUGAUGGGGUGUGAGGGCGCUGGCAGUGUUUGACUUCUUAACCUGGGUGCAGGGUGCACAGUCUGAGUCAACAGGACACCAGGAAGUGUGAACCUACCUGUAGAUGUGUUGUACUUCAAUAAAAAAUUGAGGGGCUGGGGAUGUGGCUCAAGCGGUAGUGCGCUUGCCUGGCAUGCGUGCGGCCCGGGUUCGAUCCUCAGCACCACAUACAAACAAAGAUGUUGUGUCUGCCGAAAACUAAAAAAGUAAAUAUUAAAAAUUCUCUCUCCUCUCUCUCUCUCCCUCACCUCUCUCUUUAAAAAAAAUAAAAAAUAAAAAAAUAAAACCAUGAACCCCCAAAUAAACUUUAAAAAAAAAUUGAAAUAUAGGGCUUGGGUUGCAAAGCCUGUGCUUGGCCUGUGCUCCUUAGCACCAUCAAAAAAGAAAAGAAGUAGGAAAAAAAGAUUAAUAAAAAAGAAAUGGUGAUCAACUUGUGUGCAAUAAGAUGAGAAAUGAAAACCUGCAUGGCCAGUGGCUAGUGGUUUUUUCCCCUAAAAUGUUCUCCUAUUUAAAAUUAGUAAUUCCGACUGCUUGGGAGGCUGAGGCAGGAGGAUCCCAAGUUUGAGGUCAGCCUCAGCAACUUAGUUUGAAUCCCUGUCUCAAAAUAAAAUUAAGCCAGGUGUGGUGAUGCACACCUGUAAUCCCAGCAGCUCUGGAGGCUGAGGCAAGAGGAUUGUGAGUUCAAAGCCAGCCUCAGCAAAAGCAAAGCACUAAGCAACUCAGUGAGACCCUGUCUCUAAAUAAAAUUCAAAAUAGGGCUGGGGAUGUGGCUCAGUGGUUAAGUGCCCCUGAGUUCAAUCCCAGGUACCCAAAAUAAAUAAAUAAAUUGAAAUAAAUUAAAAGGUCUGGGGCUGUAGCUCAGUGGUAGAGCACUUGCCUAGCAUGUGUGAGGCCCUGGGUUCCAUUACCAGUAUAAAUAAAUAAAUAGAUACUGGUUUUAAGAGUAUUUUCUUGAACUGGGGAUAUAGCUCAGUUGGUAGAGUGCUUGUCUCACAUGCAUAAGGCCUUGGGUUCAAUCCCCAGCACCACCAGGAAAAAAAAGAAGUUGUUUUCUCUGGGUUUUUUUUUUUUUUUUGGAAGCUGAAGAUAUGAGCUAUAGGAAGAUUGAUUGAAGAACUUAAAAUAUUUAAUGUUUGUGAAAACUUUAGUAGUUCCCAAUCUGGAGGUCCCUCCCCCCCACCCCCCACCAGCACUGGUUAUUAAACCCAGGGACACUUAAGCACUGUGCAACAUCCUCGGCACUUUUUUAUUUUUAUUAUUUUGAGACAGUUCUCAUUAAGUUGCCCAGGCUGAUUCUGCUGGCCUGUGGAACCCUCUUUGAGAACCAAUGUCCUAAAAUAACCCUCUAAGAUCAAUAAAUGUUCAUUGCAUCUGGUCAUGUUCAUUUUUAAAUUUUCUUUUUUUGCAGUGCUGGGGAUGGAAUCCAGGGCGGGGCACAUGCUAGGCAGGAGCUCUGCCACGGAGCCCCAGCCCUAGCCCUUGUUUAUUGCCUUGAAAUAGUAAACUUUUAAAUAAAUGUGAGCCACCAAAGGUCUCCCAAAUGGAGGGCCAUUGCUGAUGGAUAUCAAGGCAUUUUCUUCCUUCUGUAAACUGCAGCUGCUGUUAGGUCUUGAUUAGGAUCAUGUCUAUUGGAAGAGGAUUUCGGUGCCUGGAAUCAUCUGGCUCUGUGACCUGUGCAGAAUGAGUGGAUGUGAACUCACUUAUUGACACCUUCCCAAAACUCUAGCCUACGCUGAUACAGGGUGAGCAUCCCAAUCCAAAAAUCAAAAAUGCUCCAAAAAUAUGGAAUUUUCUAGGCACCAAUGGGACACCAGAAGAGGAAAAUCCCACACCUGACCUCAUGUGACAGGUCACAGUCAAAAUGCAGGCACACUGAAAAUAUUGUAUAAGCUUACCUUUAGGCUACAUGUAUAAAGUGUUUAUGAAGCAUAAAUGGAUUUCAUGUUUAAACGGGUCCCAGCCCGAAGAUAUUUUAUUAUGUAUAUGCAAAUAUUCCAAAAUCCUAAAAUACAUCUGGCCCAGUUUCAGGUAAGGGAGACUCAACCCGUAUUGGUGUUGCCAGAUACAAACGGGACAUACAGGCAAACUCAUUCAAGCAUGGGGAAAUGAACAAAUUAAAACUAUUGGCAUUAUAUCUUUAAAUAUCAGUGUAUGCCUGUUUAGGGGUGAAAAGGCAUUAAACAUUUAUUGAGCGAUUACUCAAUACCCUGUGUAGUGCCAGGCACUACCCAGAGAGCUUAUAUGCUUGUCUCAUUUUAUCCUCCUAACCUGGGUCAUCAGUGCCAUCGUUAUCCAAUUGCCAAAGUUGAGUAACUUACCCAAAGCCCCAUGGCUUGUAUGUAAUAGAGGAGUCAGGAUUGGCACCCAGGUCCAGAGCCUGUACUGUGUCACAGACAGAGCCCAAAGGGCACACGUUCACCUCCUCUCAGAACCCCCUGGGGAAGUGCCAGUGGUGGGAGCCCAGAGCUGUCUGCAUGGGGAGGCCAGGAGACACAUGGGGUUGAGGGAGGGCUUGGUUGAGGAGGUAGGAUUUGGAGAAGGCAGGCAUAUUUGGGAGGAGGAGGAAACAAUGUGCCGGAAAAGAUCCAGGACGGAAUGUGGUGUGACUGAUAUUCGCCAGGACUCUUGGGAGUCAACAAAAUGAAAUUCACAGAUCAGAAGCCUCAGAAAGUCAUAUCUCUGCUGUUUCUAGAGCAGAUUCUGUCUUCAGGAAUGGCUGGAUCCAGGAACCAUCAGGACCUUCCCUCUCCUUAUUUUCUGACUUUUCCAAAGAGGCAUAAUAGAAAAAGAAGGAGAAAAGGUUGGAAAUAAGGCUCAUGUCAGGUUGCCAGGGCCUACUUUCCAAUUGCCUGAGAAUACUGCUGGAGGGUUUGAGGUCCCUGAGAGGGGAUAUGCGUGCCAAGGGCUCUCUUCCUCCCUUUCUGAGUGAGUGUGGCAGCUGGUGAGCUUGCUGCUGGCACGCUGCAUCCCUGUUGCACUGAUAUGCUGUUCUGGUCUGGGUCCCGCCUGACGUUAACAAUCCAAUCUUGUGCAGCACAUCCCCACAGUCUCUGGAAAGACUGGCUCUAUUCAGUUGCAGACAGAGGAAUUGGAAGAGGAAAGAGUGUUCUAGUCUGUUUUUUGAAUACCAGAGACUGGGUAAUCCAUAAAAGACAGAAAUUUAUUUCUUGGAGUUUGGGAAGUCCAAGGUUGAGGGGCCUGUAAAUGGCAAGGGCAUCUUGUCGCAUCAUCCCAUGGCAGAAGGCAGAUGAGCAAGAGCUCAUGACCUGGGAGCCUAUUAAAGGUUGCACCUCUCAACAUUGUUGCAAUGGGGAUUAAGUUCCUAACAGAUGAACCAUAGAGAGGGACAGCAGAAACAACUGACCUUGUCUGUAGGAAGCUGGAAGCCCCAAAGAUCAAAUGGGCAAGAGAGAGCCCCCCAGAUGUGCGAACUUUUAAACGUGAUCCAGAGAAAGUCCCCGGCACUGACCCAUUAGAUUAACAUGUGUGGGGAGAGGAGGCAGGAGGCCACCUUUCUCUGGUUUCAUUUGUUGAGCACCUCCCCAGGUCUACCCCUUGCAGACUGCUUUAUCAUAGGCUGUAUUGUGACGAUAGUCAACUUAGAUGAUCAAGACUCUGCUAUCACUUUGCCAUUCUGGUCUCAGAUCUGUGGUUACCUGUCUACCUUUCUGGGUUGCUUCAUACUGUCCAAGGACAUGUUUCAUAUCUUUUCAUUUAAUCUGCAAGCCCACCACCCUGCCAGGAAGGGACCCACGAGGGUGGCAGAGGGUGGAUUGCCUCUACUCCCAUCUCUUCAGCAGAUGGAAGGGAGGUACUGCCUGCCUUUGACUUGGAGUUAGCAAGAUUUGAGAGAGAAUAUCCAGGAAGGGCUCUUAAAUGUCAGAACAUCUUCUAUGCAUACGUCUUAGGCAUGACUUCUAACCUGCUUGGAGGUACUUCCUCCUGACUCCUCCUGCAGACAUUGGGAGGGGAGCUCUCUCACAUUAUUGGUGAAUGAGCACAGUUGAGAAGCUGUGUCUCUGUGUUCCGCUCAUCCAGACCGUCCUACGCUGAAGACCUCACAAUACAUCCCAGAUGGCAUGGUUGUCUAGUGUUGAGGCAGGUGAGGUCAGCGGCUCACAUCUUCCUGUCUGGGCUGUUGUCUGAUGCCACGCAAGGUGGUUGCAUUGAGAGGUGCCUUGAGAGGGGAGGCUGGAUAAGAGGGGGUGCUGAAGAUAGUCAUCCCCCCCCUCUGCACAGCAGUGAGGCAAGGUGAGCUCAGGUGAGAGACUCAAUCGCCCUUGUUUCUCUAUUGCUUGCCAAAGGUCCUCUGCAGCAGAAAGGGUUAGUGUUUAGAUUUUUACAUAUUGAUGACUCUUCUUCCAAGAUUAAGAGAGAGAAGUAAUACAUACACUGUCCGGGCGGGAGACAGGGGAAUUGGAAAGAUGAUAUUGGAUUUCCUUUGAAACUCCAUGUCUGGAUGACAACGAAGACUCAAAACAGAGCUAUGGCAUCUCUCAUGAUGGUCCUGACCAUGUGACCUUAUCAUUAUGUGAAACAUUAUGUGAAACUCUAUGGCUCUCCAAGGUGGACCCGCCAUUGGGUUUUAUGGUCGGGGAGCUCAUGGGAAGUGGCAGAGGGUAUGACCGGCCACGCUCCAGUCAUAUCUGGAAAGAUACGCUUGACCCUCCAUGGUCUGGAGAUGGGAUGGGUCAGAGAGGAGCACGUGAUCAGCACUUGUAUGGGUUGUCACAGGGAAUAAGAUCAGUCACUAGCUAAUGUCUCAGUUGCACUCUGCUCUAGGGCUGCUGAGCCUUGCCAAGUUUAAGAGCAGUGUAGACACUGGGCAUGUGGUAGUGGAGAGCAUGGCUGUGAGUCAGGCUCACUCUCCCCACAGCUGGGAUCAGAACCUCUACUCGGGAAAAGAGGGGACACCUAGUAGGGUGACCCCUUUGUAUAUAUCAGACACAUGCCAAGAGUGCCACAAACCAUUUUAUAGACCAAGGACACAUGGACAGAGAAGUACCUAGUGUCCAGGGUCAUGUUGCUAAUGUGGGAAGGAAAAAGGUUUUGAAUUCAGGUCUGCAGACUCCGAAGUCAGGUUCUUCUUUGCCAAUAUCAACAUUCCUAGUAACGGUUCUUCAUGACUGAUUCGAAAUCCACAUGGACAUUGUGACCCUGGUUGAGAACCACCAAGUCACACUACCCUGGAUGAUGAAUGGGCUAGGUACUCAUUAUAAGUGUGCUGCCAGACACCAAAAUGAUGCUGCUUCAUACUGAGUGACUGGCAAGGGACAUUGACCUAAGAAGUAAGGGCUUAGGGCAGGAUGGUUGCUGACCUUUACCCAAGGCCUCCUCUAACACGGCCCCAGGGGUGUCCAGAAGGGAUGCUGUUCUAGGAAUGGGUCUGAUAGUUAGUAGUGAUUCCUCCUUCCCUCCAUCCAUCCCUUUUUCCUUCUUUCCUUCCUCUCCCUCCUUCUCUCCCUUCCUAUCUUUCUUGCUGUUUCUAAAGAACACUGAUUUCAGAGAUACCAUUUGGAUUUUCAAAGCACGCUCCAGGGAGACCUGGGGACUCUGUUGAGAAGGUUCAUGGGCUUCCUGGGGCGGGGGGGUGGGGGGAGGAUCGCCAAGAAUAGGAUGGCCCUUUCUUCCCAGUGGCCUGAACCAGAACACCACUUUCUUGCUGCUGUAGGUAUCCGGUGUCUAUGAGCUUCCAUCUGAAGAAGGACUAUUUUGGCUCUUUCUAAAAGUCUGACAACCGUGGCUUUCAAAUGAUGCUUUGCAAUCCCAUAGGCAAAACCACUUCGGCUUGUAGAGGACUCUCUCCCCUUUGAAUCCAAGAGACCUAGAGCUGUUAGGGAACUAAGUCUCUGUAAAGAUCCUUCCUCUAGCACAUCCUUUGAUACUGGGAGCAAGAAGUGACUCUCCUUGCUUGAGUGGCAAGGUUAGUGAGGCUCCCAGGAAUAAAAGAAAAUGUGUGUUGGUUGAUGUUGGAAGAGACAGGAAAAUAAAACCACCUAUAUGUUCUGGUUGUGGGCUUGGUCAUCGUAAAGCGAAGGAACAGGAGGUAAUGAGCCCCCUGUGUUUUAUUAGGGAAGUUCUUCUCCCUUCAGAAGGGACUCCUCAUUUCUUGGGUGCACACGCAGAAACCCUUUGAGGGCAUCCAGCUGGCUGCAGAACCGCUGCCCAUUUGAAUCUGAUCCAACUAAGCAAAUUGGCCUUAAUGGGGAAAUUUUGCUUGGCAGUAGAUGGUCUUCCUUUUCGUCACCUCCUCCUUCUCUUCCGGCUGCCCUUCACUUUGUCCAAGUCAUAGAAAGUUAAAAUAGACCCUCUGGCGUCGUCCCAGAGAAUCCGUUGGUUUCUUCCCCAACAUCACAUUCUUUCUCACAUUGUCUCCCUUCAGUGCUGAGAGCACACCUCAUUCCAACUUGAAAGGACUCUCCUGCUCUGAAUGGACUUGCUGUGUUCGUAGGAGGGGGAUGGGUCUGACCCACAGGGCCUCUUACAAGUUGGUUGUGAGUAGGCGCGUGUUCCCUCUGUUCUCCAUUAUGGUUAGCAUCUCAAGCUAGCCCACAAAAAUUCUCUUCCUUAGUCCUAAGAUGCUGCAUUGGUGUGACAUCUGUUGAGGUGACGUGGAGAAACCGACAGGCAGUUUGGGGGUGAACUUGACUUGAGUUCUAAUUCCAGAUUGUCUGGUGGCCUCAAGACACUUUGCCUCAGAACUUCAGUUAUCUUAUCAGUCCAUAAAAGGAGGACGAUGGUACCCACCUUGGAUGUGAGUCGAGCUUGGUUUUCCCCAAGGUGAGACUUUAGGCAAAACAAUGCCAAGUGCCUAGCACUGAGCAGAUGCUGGGGGGUGCUGGGGGGUGCUGGCUUCCUCUUGACCCCGCCGUCUGCAGUCGUGAGUCUGAAGACUCGUGAGAUAGUUGUAUGCUACUCAUGAAAAGGGGGUAGAAAAUGAAAAUGCUAUACUUUAGUAAUUAACCAAAAAAACAGGGAAACCAACCACGUGAUUGAAGAAAUAGAGCUGGUGUCUUUACUGCUAGUUGAUAAAAGGCAGAAUUAUUCAGUUAGAGAAAGGUGGAAUAGCUGGGCAAAUGAUGCACAGGGGAUUUCUAGACUCUUUCAGGGGCUUGGGAUGGUUAUUGCUUAUUUAUUUGGGGGUGAGUUCUCUUUAAGAUGUCCCAGGGAAAUGUGAACUCUUGCCCUUUUCUAUUUCUCAGAACCACCAACCCAGCUGGAGGGUAGGAAGAGACAGGAGUAAGUGGGCCCAAGGAAGGCAGGGUGUAGCUGCUGCACCUCAAGUACUUGACCCUCGGAUUGGAUCAUUUUUAACAAUCCUUCUCCCCGUACACCAAAGCUACGCUAGUAACAACCACACAAUGAUAAAUAAUAACCAUUAUUUUCCUGAUCUGUUGAUCAAUCCCAAACUGAACCAUGAAUGAUUCAAAAUGAUGAAGAAUAAAUUUCAGUUUUCAAGGUAUUCAAUUUCAGUAAAAUUUGUCAUGUAUGAACUAAUGUUUGAAUUUAUCAACAUUAUAUCUCACUGUUCCUCCUCUGUUUCACUGAUUUCCAUUUUAAGUGCAAACAGAAUUUCCAAGUGGGAGCUGGGGGUGUAGCUCAGUGAUGGAGCACUUGCCUAGCAUGGAUGAGGCCCUGGAUUUGAUUCCCCAGCACCACACACACACACGCACACACACACACAUGCACGCACACGCAUGUACACACACACAUACCCAUGCACACACAUGAUGCACAUACACACACACGUAUACACACACACACAAAGUAAAAAAAUUCCAGGUGAUCACAUAGAACAGCCAGACUGAAGUAACUCAAGUUAUUUGCCUUUUUUUAAAAUAUUUUCUAGUUGUUGAUAGACCUUUUAUUUUAUUUAUUUAUAUGCGGUGCUGAGAAUCGAACCCAGUGCCUCACACAUGCCAGGCAAGUGCUCUACCACUGAGCCACACAGCCCCAGCCCAAGUUAUUUGUCUUUAGAAUUACUACACUAGCAUUGUUUAUUCGAAUCUACUGGUUUUUGGGGGGAGGGGGGAAGAGGGGAAAGUACCAGGGAUUGAACUCAGGGGCGUGCAACCACUGAGCCACAUCCCCAGCCCUAUUUUGUAUUUUAUUUAGAGACAGGGUCUCACUGAGUUGCUUAGUGCCUUGCUUUUGCUGAGACUGGCUUUGAACUUGCGAUCCUCCUGCCUCAGCCUCCCAACCACUCGAUUACAGGGUGUGCCACCACGCCUUGCUGAGUCUACUAUUUGAACACAAGAGAUAUGUAGCAUUGCAGGGUCUGAGACUGGAAAUGUGCCCUAAGAGAACUUGAAUGAUUCUGAGCUACUGUGAAUUUACUUUUGAAACGAGCAUGUAGCUUGCGUGUCUGUGUUUGUGUAUGUACGUGUGCCGCAGUCCGGCUGGCUGCAGCAAAAUAACCGGAGGGUGACGAAUAACUUGUGUACGUUGAUACAGCAGGAGAGGGAGCCGUUUAUUGCAGGACAGGAGCAGUAUUUAUACAUUCCACACAGCUUAUCUAAUUAGCAUAAACUAGAUACAUCAGUCAACCAAUAAGGAAUCUCCACACUUAAUGGCUCGCUUUUGUUACUUCUCAAACCACUCCCUCUGGCAUUUUGCCAGGCACCAUCCAGACUUGUUUACGAACUCUAACAUUCCCCUGGCAAAAUGCCAGGUGUUAUUUUGACUUGUUUACAGACUCUAACAUACGUGUGACUUGAUCACUUUUCUAUGAGGGAUGUAAUGUACAUUUAAGAAUAGGUAAUAAAGAGGUGGACCAGUGGUGCCCACAUGCUGGUCUGUUCCCACCUCCCUGCCCAUGAGACACCACCAGCUGCAGCAGAAAAUAUUGGUUGCCCUCCACUCCCAAAUCAUUCCUGCUUCCUCUUCUAACAAAAGUGGAUUUAUUUGUUACUAAAUAUCAAUAUGCCCUGGAAAAUUAAAGCCCUCCUCUUCCUUCAGGGAGUGAACACAUUCUAAGCCAAUCAGGGUGGGCCAGUGCUCUUCUGACAGUGAUUGGUUUGGCGUGAGCAUGUGACUGGAUUCUGGCCAAUAGUGAGAGUAAAUCUUCUGGGGUGGAGGGUGGGAGUUUCCGGGAAAGAUCUUCCUCAGGACUGAAUGCAAAUCAAAGCAAACAAGCACAUAAAAAAAUAAGCUGAGAAAUAAGGAGUGAUGUUUCCUCAACAUAAGUGCUCACGUGCGUUCGUCCGCUUUCUGGGUUUGGACAAUGGGGUAAGGAAGGGAUGCCUGAGGCCACAAGAACCACCCUUCAGCCAUGACAGGACAAGCAGAGGGCACACACCAAUAAGCUGCAGAUGGCCCAACAAAAAGAUGAACCUCUGUCCCUGGAAUGUUUGCCACAUGAGAUAAUAGACUGGUGCCCUGCAAGCCACGGUCACCUGAGGUGCCUGUUGCUUGAAGCCAAAGCCGGUUGAGUUACCCUUGGACGUAUGUGGGUGGGGGCAAGGUGGUCACUUAGGGCAAUAAUGUCUCUCAGGGUAGAGAAAACCAGGGGAAGGAGACCACCAUGGGUACGUGCCUCCAGGCUCUGGCAGGAGAGGAAAGGGGGUCAGGGCAGAGAGCUGCUGUUGGCCUUGGAUGCCACCAUCCAACUGAACAUCUUGCCACCUGACAUGGGACCAGAAUUCUGGGUGGUGGUUGAGAGGAUGGUUCAGGGUCCCUGUGGGCCUUUGUAAGAAAGUGACUCUGUAGCUAGCGUGGUGACCACUAGUAAUCCAUCAGUCAUUGAACUCCCUGACCCCCUCCCUGGGGACAGCAAAUAAUAAAAUGGUUUAAAUGGAGACGGAGUGGGUGGCCCUGGGCCACUUGCUUCAGUCCUGGUUUUCUAGAAAACAGAGCCAUGAGUCAGGCCUUAAAAGGCGGACAUUCUAGGAGGGACAGGCCCAAAGAAUAGAGGGGAUUGAAGGAGGGGACGUGAAUGGAAGAGAGGCCACCUGCCGCCACCUAACCUCCAACCUCCAGGAGAAUCCGCGGCCUGUUCCACAGACGUGUCUUUUCUGGAAGGCGUCCAGAAAUCUCGCCAUGAAGCAGCACACAGAGGAGAGCUGAGGGGGCAACCUGGGGGCCUCCCCUUGAACUUCAGCAGGCCUGGUCUCAGGCACCAGGAGUGGGGCGCUGACAAACGGAAAGCAGGGGGCGGCCAUGAAACCUGGGACGGCACAGCCAUCUGUCAGUGACAGGGUCUGCACCCUCUGGUGGGCCGGGACGACCCAUCCCUCCCUGUGGGGCUCACCCGGAUGCCAGCAUCCCUUUGACACCUUCUCCUUCCUUCCGGUCCUCUCCGCAUCACCCUUCCAGGAUGCUUUCGAAACAAGUCCCCUAGGGCUGAGUGCAAGCCUCCAUCUGUGCCUUCGGUCGGCGAGAGUAAAGAGGAAUUAUGGCUGCUCCCUGCUCUGCUGGGCCUGGUGGAAUUACCCCAAAGCAGUGUUUAUCAUGCCACUGAGCUGGAUGCCCAUGUUUAAUGUGCUAUCUGCUCUGACCCCAGGUGUCUCUCUGCAUCACUGCUCUGCCACCAGAGAGCCUACAGUCAGUGGCUCGGCCGAGGGUCAUUGCUGACAAGUGUAUUACCGGUGUUUAUCCAUAUUAAAUCUUGUAUCCGUGGCUGCCUUUUACCCAUUUUUCUAAAUUCUUUCUGGUUCCUCAGCAGUUUCCUUCCUGCCUUGUCUUGCCCUUCUUGGAAAGGAGAACCCUUCUAUGUCAGGAGUUCCACUGCGGCCUCGUGUUCCAGUCGCCUAGGAAGAAUAAAGAUGUUACAGAAGGUCCUGCUACGGACCUGGAGCCUUCAUCUGGGAUUGGUACUGAUCCAUCCAUAAUUACAUCAUUCAGAGUGGUGGGGAGCUCACUGGUGGGACUGGUUUAAUUACAACAUACAUCUGUGAAGGUAGUGGCUGGCCAGCACUUUUCUCAUGUAAGAACAUAGUUAAAAGCUAUCAUCUUAAUCAUGUUUUAUAUAGGUAUAGCACUUUACACUUUAUACAAUGUCUCCACUGGAUUUUCCCUAAAGGGUACCCUUCUUUAUUUUUUCACUUUACAAAACAUUUUAUUGGAG
This 55689-nucleotide long non-coding RNA is filed under the name Marmota monax (woodchuck). The stretch from base 45583 to 45655 matches the Rfam family "tRNA". The record is from RNAcentral. Lineage: Eukaryota; Metazoa; Chordata; Mammalia; Rodentia; Sciuridae.